This 64381-nucleotide long non-coding RNA is filed under the name Arabidopsis thaliana (thale cress). Its description in RNAcentral is "long non-coding RNA (ATHA_LNC000618)". The stretch from base 50516 to 50637 matches the Rfam family "MIR405 microRNA precursor family". Lineage: Eukaryota; Viridiplantae; Streptophyta; Magnoliopsida; Brassicales; Brassicaceae. The record is from RNAcentral.
AAACCCAAGAAAGAAGAAAAAAGCAGAAAAACAAGGGAUAAAAUCAAAGAUGGGGGAUAAAGUUUUGAGGUUUACACAAAAGCAAAGGGAAAUUAACCGGUGAAGCUUGGUGGCUUGUAGGCAAUGAAACUGAUGCACUGGACUUGACGGGUGUUGUCGAAUCCGAUGAUCCUAAUGAAGGCAUUGGGGUACUCCUUCUUGCACUCUUCCACUUCCUUCAACACUUGAGCGGAGUCGGUGCAACCGAACAAGGGAAGCUUCCACAUUGUCCAGUACCGUCCAUCAUAGUAUCCGGGUGAGUUACCGUGCUCACGGUACACAAAUCCGUGCUAUACAAACCACAUGUUACAAACCACUCAGAUAACAUUUUGAACAUGUUUAUAUAAAUCAAGAUCCUAAUAUAUUAAACCAAAUUUUCCUAAGAUCUAGCUAGUUUAUAUAGAUGUUUAAAUUUUGUUUAAUUACCUCCAACUCGAAUUCAACACAAGGAAUCCACUUGUUGCGGAUAAGGUAGUCAACUUCCUUAGCCAAUUCGGAAUCGGUAAGGUCAGGAAGGUAAGAGAGAGUCUCAAACUUCUUCUUUCCAAUCGGAGGCCACACCUAUUUUUUCGAUUUUUCCAAUGAUAUUAGUUUAUGUAGAUUCGAAGAAAGAACCGAAAAAAAUCAUAUGGAAUAAUAAAAAAGUGAAAGAAGAAAUAUAAAUGACCUGCAUGCAGUUAACUCUUCCGCCGUUGCUUGUGAUGGAAGUAAUGUCGUUGUUAGCCUUGCGGGUGGCUGGGAAGGCAGCGGAGGACUUAAGUCCGUUGAAAGGAGCGACCAUAGUGGCCUGAGCCGGAGAGGCAACCAUAGUAGCGGAAGAGAGCAUAGAGGAAGCCAUUGUUCUUCUUUACUCUUUGUGUGACUGAGGUUUGGUCUAGUGCUUUGGUCAUCUAUAUAUAAUGAUAACAACAAUGAGAACAAGCUUUGGAGUGAUCGGAGGGUCUAGGAUACAUGAGAUUCAAGUGGACUAGGAUCUACACCGUUGGAUUUUGAGUGUGGAUAUGUGUGAGGUUAAUUUUACUUGGUAACGGCCACAAAGGCCUAAGGAGAGGUGUUGAGACCCUUAUCGGCUUGAACCGCUGGAAUAAUGCCACGUGGAAGAUAAUUCCAUGAAUCUUAUCGUUAUCUAUGAGUGAAAUUGUGUGAUGGUGGAGUGGUGCUUGCUCAUUUUACUUGCCUGGUGGACUUGGCCCUUUCCUUAUGGGGAAUUUAUAUUUUACUUACUAUAGAGCUUUCAUACCUUUUUUUUACCUUGGAUUUAGUUAAUAUAUAAUGGUAUGAUUCAUGAAUAAAAAUGGGAAAUUUUUGAAUUUGUACUGCUAAAUGCAUAAGAUUAGGUGAAACUGUGGAAUAUAUAUUUUUUUCAUUUAAAAGCAAAAUUUGCCUUUUACUAGAAUUAUAAAUAUAGAAAAAUAUAUAACAUUCAAAUAAAAAUGAAAAUAAGAACUUUCAAAAAACAGAACUAUGUUUAAUGUGUAAAGAUUAGUCGCACAUCAAGUCAUCUGUUACAAUAUGUUACAACAAGUCAUAAGCCCAACAAAGUUAGCACGUCUAAAUAAACUAAAGAGUCCACGAAAAUAUUACAAAUCAUAAGCCCAACAAAGUUAUUGAUCAAAAAAAAAAAACGCCCAACAAAGCUAAACAAAGUCCAAAAAAAACUUCUCAAGUCUCCAUCUUCCUUUAUGAACAUUGAAAACUAUACACAAAACAAGUCAGAUAAAUCUCUUUCUGGGCCUGUCUUCCCAACCUCCUACAUCACUUCCCUAUCGGAUUGAAUGUUUUACUUGUACCUUUUCCGUUGCAAUGAUAUUGAUAGUAUGUUUGUGAAAACUAAUAGGGUUAACAAUCGAAGUCAUGGAAUAUGGAUUUGGUCCAAGAUUUUCCGAGAGCUUUCUAGUAGAAAGCCCAUCACCAGAAAUUUACUAGUAAAAUAAAUCACCAAUUAGGUUUCUUAUUAUGUGCCAAAUUCAAUAUAAUUAUAGAGGAUAUUUCAAAUGAAAACGUAUGAAUGUUAUUAGUAAAUGGUCAGGUAAGACAUUAAAAAAAUCCUACGUCAGAUAUUCAACUUUAAAAAUUCGAUCAGUGUGGAAUUGUACAAAAAUUUGGGAUCUACUAUAUAUAUAUAAUGCUUUACAACACUUGGAUUUUUUUUUGGAGGCUGGAAUUUUUAAUCUACAUAUUUGUUUUGGCCAUGCACCAACUCAUUGUUUAGUGUAAUACUUUGAUUUUGUCAAAUAUAUGUGUUCGUGUAUAUUUGUAUAAGAAUUUCUUUGACCAUAUACACACACACAUAUAUAUAUAUAUAUAUAUAUUAUAUAUCAUGCACUUUUAAUUGAAAAAAUAAUAUAUAUAUAUAUAGUGCAUUUUUUCUAACAACCAUAUAUGUUGCGAUUGAUCUGCAAAAAUACUGCUAGAGUAAUGAAAAAUAUAAUCUAUUGCUGAAAUUAUCUCAGAUGUUAAGAUUUUCUUAAAGUAAAUUCUUUCAAAUUUUAGCUAAAAGUCUUGUAAUAACUAAAGAAUAAUACACAAUCUCGACCACGGAAAAAAAACACAUAAUAAAUUUGAAUUCUGACAGUGAACUCUACUUUUGAAUUCUAAUUAUAGAGUGAAGAAUCUUGAUAGAUGAAAGCCAUAAACAUGUUUGUCGAAACUAGAAAGUACCCACAUAUCAUAAUAAGAUGUUUCUAAUUCCACUUUGAGACUCAGUCAAACAGUUAAUAUCUUGGACAAUAAGAAUUUGUUGACCAAUAAUCCUAUAUUACAAGAAGCCUUCUAUUAUUUUAAUCAAAACAUUGAAGCUCAAGCUCCUCGUAAGGUAAAGAGCCCACAAAAUUCCGAAAACCAUGGAAAACGCGAGUCCCUGGGUUUGCAUUAUAUUUUCUAUAUUUGUUUUUCUUUUCUCCUAAAAUUAUGGAAGUGAUUGGAAGAUACAAGAGGUUUUGUCCAAACAAUUUAAACUCGACGACUAAAAACGUAGGAUGACGCGAUACACACGCGCGGCCAUAUGCAUGCAAACCCCUAUAUUUCUUUUUAAAGUUUUUGGCUCUUUCCACAUUUUUAAAAAUAAAAAUAUUUUUGGACAUUUUUGCAUGGCAUCUUCACCUAUCUCUCCUCCAUUUGUCUUUCUUUUUUCAGUUCAGUGUAUCAUCAACAAGAGUUCACAAACUUUUAUUUUUUACACAUUCAUGGCUUGUUUCUAGUUCUAGAUUUGGAUUUUUCUAGCUUCACUUUUGAUAGAAUUCGGGGGAAAUAGAAAUUGUUAAACCAAAAGGAAGAGUUAACGUUCGAUUCUGUAUCAGAUAAAUCUCUAUAAAGGAUUAUAUCAUUGUAUUAUUCCAGCUAGCACAUAUCCAUUUUCGUAUUUGUCAAUUAAGAGAAUUUGUAUUUAUUUGUUUAUUAUAAGACGACAAUAAGAAAGACGACAAAAAAUUUUAUUCGUAUGCUUAUAUUUUGUAUGCAUCUAUUUUUCUACCUCUUACCUAUGCAUUUUUAUUUUAAUGAAUUAUCAUAUCUGUUUGUCAAUCACUUCUAUAGCAAUAUGAUAAUUUGGUUGAAACUGUAUUUAUCCAUACGUCUAUCUAAACAUGUAUAUAUACCAUUUGAAUUUUUCAAAAACAUAAUAUAUAUACAUAUAGGAAUUAGGUUAUUGACUUAUUGUUUAUCUUACAAUAUGUUAAGUUAUUUGAUAUAGAAAAUUAUUGUACAACUUUAUACAGGUCUUCUAAAUUACCUGAAACGACAACAAAUUUAUUUCAUACUAGUAUAUAUCAUAUAGCAUAUAUAGCUUUCACAUUCGUCUGUAACUGGUCUUUCAGAAAAAUUGACUCUAUAGAGUCUACUAGCUAUAGUUAUGAUUGUUCGCAUGAUUAUAUUAUUAGUUAAAGUGGAGACAAUCGUAUUAAUCGUGUGAUAGCCGGCAGAAGAAAAAAUAAAUCGUUUUAUCCGUUAAAAUUAUAUAUAUUUUGUUUUACUGUAUUUUUCUAGUUUUUAACUAAGUUUUAUCUUUAUAUAAAUAAUUAUAAAUGUUUAUAUAAUGUUUGAUAUACUUAAAUAAAUAUUUUAUCUAAACUUUGUUUGCGAUUUGACAUUUUUAACAUUUUUGAUAGAUAUUUAUAUAUUUUCUAUAAUUUUAAUUUUUAACUGUUUCUAAACCUUAAUAAUAAUUAAUAGAUUGUGUGUGCGUUUUUUUCUUUAUUUUAUUAAAGAAGUAAUAGAAAUAAUUCAAACAUCACCAUUCAAUGAUGGGUGUUUCAAUGGAAGAAACUACCAAAUCUAACCAAUAAACGUUGGCAUCUAUUCACCUAAAAGUAAAAAUUGUAGAGCCUAUAUUAGUCAAAGUGAUCCAUGCAGAUAAUUUAUUAGUAGGUCUUUCGAUAUUAAUGUUGAUAUAUACUAGAGCCUAUAGAAGUCAAAGUGAUUCCAUUAAGAUAAUUUAUUAAGUAGGUAUUUGGAUAUUAAUAUUAAUUAUCAGAAUUAUGUAUGGAGCUACAUAAUGUGUAACCGCUCAGAAAACGCGGCGAUUCGACCAAACUCUGUUACCACAAUGUCUCCGCCACGCGAUCACACUUUUGCGCUUGCAUGCGAACGUUGAAAUUCGAACCUCUCAUCUCUCUAUUUACCAUUUUACCCUCUAGUAAUUUCGUUUUCAAAAUUUACUAUCUCCAAAUAUUUUGGCAGUCCAUUAUUAAUUGCCGAACAUUAAACUGCGGUCUAGACAAAAACAAACGGCGGUCAGAUAUAAACAACUAACCAAAAAAAUAAAAUACUUGACUGGUUUUGGACAUUUUCGUCGAUGAUGAUCACGCGCUACGAAUGAGAGCCAAAGACAAAGCUCAACGGGCUUCCAUAUAUAUUUCAUAUUUAUUAGUAACUAUUUUCCCCAAAAAAAAAAAUAUAUAUUAUUAGUAACUACAAACAAACAAACAAAAUGUAUAAACCAUGAAAAUUAAAGAUUUUAAAAUUUUAUAACUAUACAAAUAGUAUGAGAAGCUUUGUUUAUUUUUAUAAACACAUAAUAACAGUUUGAAAAAAUUACUUACCUAAAUAAAGGUAAUAUUCUCGUAAUUUACUAAAAUAAUUCAUACAAAAUAUAAAAACAAUUACAAAACUCUUCUUUUUUGGGCUCUUUACAUCUUAUUUAUACUUUGAAAAUUACGAUAUCCAUUUAGAGAAAAAUAUAACAUGCACGUCACAAAUUUAUUUAUUUUUUGAAAAAAAUUACACACAAAGAAAACGACAACUUCGUUCCUUGUUAAUUGUUAUGAUCUCUCCGACCAAACCCAAGCAGCUUCUCCCUCUUAAAUACCUCUUCCUUCUUCUAAGAUCUCUGGACCAUUCUGUACUUUCCCUCAAACCCAAAACACAUUUUGUUUUUUGUUUCCCAUCUAAAAUGCGUAUGAGUUGUAACGGAUGUCGAGUUCUACGAAAAGGCUGCAGUGAAAACUGUAGCAUAAGACCUUGUCUUCAAUGGAUCAAAUCCGCUGAAUCUCAAGCCAACGCCACCGUCUUCCUCGCCAAGUUUUAUGGCCGUGCGGGGCUCAUGAACCUCCUCAACACCGGUCCUGACCACCUCCGUCCUGGUAUUCAAACUUCCCAUGCAUGUUAUGUUUUUUGUUUGUUAUGGUUAAUUGCGAAGUUCUGGACGGAAUCUCUCAUACAUCUUUUUAGGAAACGUAGGAUCCUGUUUAUUUUUCUAACAUGCAUCUAAUAAUUUGGUAAUUUUGUUUGUUUUUGCAGCGAUAUUUAGAUCAUUGUUGUACGAAGCAUGCGGGAGGAUUGUGAAUCCGAUAUACGGAUCCGUGGGGUUAUUGUGGUCAGGAAACUGGCAUCUUUGUCAAGCGGCCGUUGAGGCAGUAAUGAGAGGCUCACCCGUGACUCCGAUCGCAUGCGACGCAGCGGUUACUGGUCAAGCACCUCCUUUUAACAACAAGCUUUGCGACAUAAGACACGUGUCAAGCAGGGACGAGAACGUUAAGAGACGGAGCCGUGGUGCAUGCAAGGAAGAGAGAAACGUGAGGUCUUUGAGUCAUGAGUCGUCACUGAGUCACGAGUCACCGGUGUCUUCUGAGGAGACGACGACGGAGGAACCAAAGACUUGGAUCGGGCUUGAGCUGACUUUGGGGUUGGAGCCUUUAGCACGUGGAAAUCACGUGGUGGUACCGAUGAAGAAAAGAAAGUUAGAGAGGUGUGGCACGUCUGAGGAUGAGGACACGUGUAAGAUUGAGCUUGGACUGGUGUGCAGUGAGUGAAUGGUUCUUUUUUUGUGGCUGGUCUUAAUUACAAGUUUUGGUGUUGAGUUUUAGGUGUACAAAUAGAGAUUAACGAAUCUCUCUUUUUUCUCUUUUUGAGUUUUAUGUUUUGUUUUGUUUUCUUUUGCAUGUUCGGUGUUCUUCAUAAAUAUGUAUGAUGAAUGAUAAAGAGGUCUUAACUUAACAAAUCUUGGUUCGGAUCGACAUAACAAACAUUUCUUCUUUCCAUUCUAAAUUCUUGAUUUUACUCAUGUACUUAAACAAACGAUGCAAUUGAUGUAAACACGUUUAUCCCAAUAAAUUUUGUAUUUUAUUUAUAUAAAAAAAAACUUAACAAAUCUUCUAUUUCAGAAAUAUCUGGGGUUAGAUUACAAAGAAUCUAAGUUGCUUAAUGAUGAAAUCUCCAUAUGAUGAUUAGUCAUUCAUUUAUAAAUAUUUUGUCUCAAAAAGCCCUUUUGUAUGUGAACCGUGUUACCAAAUGACUCAGCAGCUAACAUGCAUGUGUGUUAGAUUUUUGUUCUCGAAGGAUAUGUGUAGGAACUUAAUUAGCUAGAGAAAACGAAAAGGAUGAAUUAUUUUAACUAAUUGGGUCGAAAUGUGUAUUCAGCAGAAAACAUAGCCCAACUCUUUCGGACUUGAAUCCUGUUUUGUCCAUCUAUCUUCCCCCCCUAUACACUCAAUUCUCAUACUAUCAGAUAUGCUAAAAUAAUUAAUGCAGUUUCUAGCCUACAGAUAUUUUGGGCUGUUGUGACUUACUUUUUGAUAAAUAAGAAGAUACUUUUGUUUCCAUAAAUUUUGAUUUCAGAAACUAAAAGUAUUAUAAGCCAAAAAAAUCAAUAAUAUAUGUAAAAUUAUUUGUAUGGUGAGUCUGUUUUAAUUGUAAAGCUAUUCAGUAAAAUGCAGUUUGCCAAAGUUAAAUCAUUAAUUAAUAUAUAUUUUUUCGGUUAACGGAUAAAAUAUAUAUUAAACUGCAUUUUAUACUUUUGUUUUUCCGUUAAUUGCCAAAGUAUAAAAAUCAUUCAAACUUUUGUUUUUCCGUUAAAUCUAGAGAAACUAAUUAAUAUAUAUUUUUUCGGCAAAAUGAUCGAUUUGUCUCUUUCUUCUUUCAAUAUUAAAAAUGAAGAUGAUGUAGAGAGAAAGUGUAGAAGUAGAACCAACAUUUAUCAAUACAGAAUGAUUUUUUUGGUUAAAGGAUAUCAAUACAGAAUAUAAUACGUUCAUAUACGGUGAACGUCCAUGCAUAUUUUACGAUUAUUAAUUCAUAUUUCUAAUUUGAUGGUACUUUUUUUUUUUUUUUUUUUGUAUGAAUGUAAAAUUUAGUCAUUAAAAAAACCCAUGGUUACAUGCAAUAUAUGCUUUUCUGAGCAAAAUUUUAAAAAUGAAAACAGGAGAAUAAGUGUUGAGAGAGAAACUGAAGUUUAGUGAUCGAGAAUGCAAACAGACCUCAUGCCCUCGUCCUAAACCAUUCACGCAGGCAAUCAUUGAACUUGCCCUGACGUUGUAACGUUGAUAGGCGAUUCCAAACAGUACUGUCAAUGUCCUUAGAUGGUAGCUAAAAUUAGAUCUUUAUCUGUAUUCUGCUUUUAAACUACGUGGAGAAAUAAUUGAAUGAAAUCGUUGAAACAUUUGUUUUGAUUAUACGAAUUUUUAAAGUGAUUUUUGUUUUGAAAUCUGAUAACUCGAAAAUAUGAGUUGGAUAGUUCUACUGCUACAUGAUUUCAGAAUGUAAACUCAUAGUCCGAAUGGUGACGACGUAUUUGAAAAGUGGUUUGAUAGUGCGAUAUGGUCCAACUGCGGUACAUGUGGGAAAAAUAUAUUUGCGGAAUAAGUACGGUUUUUAUAAAAUAAGCGGUACGAAAUAAUGUUUGAUUGGUGAAGAAUAGUAUUUAGGAUACAUAUAUAUAUAUUUUUAUAAUAUUUUAUUUUAUAAAAAUUAUUAUUAUUUUAAAUAAAAUGAUGUUAUUUGGUAAACUUAAUACAUACUAGAAAUUUCAGAAUUUUUUAAAUUUAAAAAUAUAUAUGUAUUAUAUGUAUAUAUACACAUAUAUAGACAAAACAAAAAACGCAUCAUAAUUGGUGAUACACAAAACAUGUGCGGUAUUGAGAUAAAACAGACCAAACAAAAAGAAUUUGAUGAGUGCGGUCUAAAAGUUAAAAUACACGAUGUGUGACUUGAAUGGUAACAAGUUAAAAAUACCGCAUGUAAAAACGCUAUAACGCGUCGCACAAUCACACCCUCAAUCAAAAUUUUUAACUUGUGCGGAAUUUGAUUCUUUGCUAUGGGCAAUGGAAUGCAUGAUCUCUAUUGGCGAUACUUCUGGCGCUUUUGCUUCCGAUUGUUCAGACCUGAUUUCUAUCAUUGACAACCAAGACGAUUGGCCGACAUUCGCAGCGGAAUUGGCAUCCUAUCGCUCUUUAGUUUGUUUUUUUCCUUUUUUUGUAUUAGAUUUCUUCCUCGUAGUUCUAAUACUCGAACAGAUUGUUUAGCUAAGAAAGUUCGGGCUCGUAAUAGCCUUUUCUUCCAUGUAAGCAUAUUGGUUCCUGAAUGGCUCUCUCUACCAGAAAGUAUCUUUCCGAUAACUUAAUAUAAAUGGUGUUUGAGGAAAAAAAAAUAUAAAAAAAUCACACCCUCAAUCUGUGUGCUUUAAUGGGUGGGGUGACAUCAGCCGCAUGAUUUCAGAGCUAAAGAUCUCUACAAUGUGAUGUGACAACAAACUACUUUACUUUAUUUUUCAUAACCAAUUUAUGCAUUAUAAAAUCAAUCAUAUUAUUUCAAUAUCAACGUCAAGUCAUCGAUUUACCCUGUAAAAGAUAGACCUGUAGUUUACGAGUUGGAGUUAAGUGGUUUCAAAUUUCUUUUUCUCGUCAGUGGUUACAAACUUACAAUUUAAAAUUUUUAUCUUAAGCUCUCCUCUCUUCUCUCUCCAAAAUCUUUCAGAGAGGAGAGCUUGAUAAUCGUUUUGUCUCCAGUUUGAUCCGGAUUUGUUUAUAUUCUCGUCUCUAUGCGAGAUCAAUAAUUUCCGAUUACAUAUCGGAUCUUCUGUUACCGACUAUGACCGGUCUUUUCUCCGUUUUUAACGGAACUUGAUCUUUAUCUCCAUUGUUGCUCACCCAUCGAUCUCAACGUUUUCUUCCAAGAUCUUUGUUGUCUCCAUUUCUUCGUGGAUUAACAUCUUCGUCACCUCCGAUUGCUCAAGACGCAAGAGCAAAAAUGGACUUUAGACUACAUCAAGAUAGAUGUAAUCGGUGGUGGAGUCUCCCGAAACUGGUGAUUCCAAAGAAUUUGUGAAGCAGCUCUACCUUUUAAUCCGGUAAAUGAUUUCGAUGCUUCUUUUGAUUGGAGUGGAGAUCGGCAGGAAGGAACAGUCUACCCAUCGCACUGAUCGGCGGUGGUUGAUCGGAGACGGCGGUGUUUAGCAACGUGAAGACGGCAGCGCUCGAUUCCUGACGCGUGGAUAGGUAGGGUACACGUCUCCAACACGUGUCAGAAGCUAGAAUUAUAAUUUUUAUGGACCGUUCUUCUCGCAUGUACUUGUUAUUGGGUUUUUCCUUACUGUACUUGUCCUAUGGGCUUUUUAAUAUAAUCUUUCGCCGGAAAAAAAAAAAAAAAAAAAAUCUUAUCUUAAAACAAUAAUAUUAUAUAUAACAGAAUGAGGAUUUUUGCGUCUAAUCAUUUUGAAAGGAUAUAUCAUAUGCAGGCGUCAAAAAGGUGACCCAUGUACACAAACACAACUGCAAAAUUGAUAUUUUAGUCAUUUAUGCCAUGUAGACAAUGAUUAUUUCGUAAGAAAAAAGUGUGUACAUUGCAUACAAAUUGCAACACACCUCCACCACGAAUUACUUCUACAAUUAUAAUGUCAAUAUAUAGUAUCGCAUCCUGUAAUGUUGGUGUAACAUGGUAAAUUCGGUACAUUCACUCUUUUAUGUAGCUGAGAAAUUUUGUACCUUGGAUUUGUUGUCUUUGGAAUCAUGGAAUAGAAGAUUAAUGUAUACUUGGAUAAACUAUCAAUUUUUUGUUACAGUUAAGUUAUUAGUCACACAAAAUAAUAUUGCUUUCCAUCAUUUACACAAUUUGUUUGUGUCUACUGUUUACUUACGUAGAAUUGUGUUAUAUAUUAAAUGAAAAUGUGCGUAACAUCUUUUGUAUCAAAUGAAAGGUUGUAGAUGUGACACAAAAAAAAAGAAUAUUGUUUACAAAAGUUUUCUUUCAACAUAAAGUAACUGGGUUAUUGCUAUUUUAAAAAAAAAACUAUAUAUCAUUUUCUCGCAAAGUUUGUGAGAAAAUUACUAUGAAAUACUCGGUUAUAAUUAAUAUGUUUUCUUGCAGUUUACUUUUAAACUUAUCAUUGCUCUUUAUAAGUGUAUUUAAUUUUAUAUUUUAUAAAUACUAAGAUUGAAUGAUUGAUUAGCACGUAAUGUACUAAUGGCUUUAAUAUAUGUGCACCUUUAAUUUAGUCUUUUCCUACCAGCAAUUUAAGCACUAGAGGUAAUCUAGUUUCCAUUACCUGCUAAUCAAUGUCACGGUUACCUGCUAAUAAAUCGUACUCUUGAAAACAUAUAGAUUAUUAUUGACAACCAUUAUUUUCACCAUGUCACGCACGGUUCAUUUAAUCAAAUUUCAUGUAGUAUCUUCAUUAUUUAUCCCAUGUGCUAAGUUUUUACUGAUUAUACGUACAUACUUAAUACUCUUUGUUUUUUGAGCAAAGACGCACAUACUUAAUACUUUGAUACGGAGAAAACGCUUAUUACUAAAAUUUGACUCUCUAUAGAACUUCAGUUGGGUGAUAUUCAAAUUAGCUCUCAUUAAUUAAUAUAUAUGGUGCAAAACAUAUAAAAACCAACAAGAAAAUCAAUAAGAUAAAAAUCAAUAACUUUUUUGUAGAAAAUAUAAAUGAGGAAUGGACAUAUAAGAGUUAAAAGUUGGCAUUAAUUAUAUAGAAUUACAAGUUGACAUUCUUCUCCGUUAUGAAAUAAUGUGCUUUAUUGAUUCAGACACUUAAAAUAUUGGAAGAUAAGAUGCAAAAAUCAAGCUUAUAAUCAUUAUAAGUGCUGACCUAAAACAAAAACAAAAUAAAUUUAAUUAAAAAAGAUCAACUAGCUAGUUACCCCCAUCACUUAUCAUUCCUAUUAUUUGUCAUGUUUCUUUAUUAUUUAAAGGCCUAUCUAGAUUGAACCCAUUUUACUAUAUAAUUAUGAGUUUCUUUAUUCUUAUAUUAAAAAUUCACCUUUUUACUCUAUAGAGUCCAAAAAAAUAAGAUUAAGACCAACUGUUUUUGGCUUAGGUCAGAGAACAUAAUGUGACCUUGAAGCCAAAUAUAUAAACAUAAUGUGACCUUACACAGAUACAACCGUCAAAACCCUUCAUGCGUUUUUUUAAAUUUAUUUUAUGAAAAGAUAUUUUCUUUCCAUAUAUCUCCAACUAAAGUAAUAGAAAUUAGGGAGAGGAACUUCUUUUUAUACUUUAAUUUGACAUUGGAGCACCAUUUUAUUUUUGGUUUAGGAAACAAUCUUCUUAAAUCUUACGAGUGCACUGUCCAAAUCGAUUAUAUAUAAUUGUAAUACUCGACAUUUCUCUGUUUCUGCUGGAAUAAUGUUGUUAAUUUUAGUUUAAGUUUUUAUGAUUUAGUGACUAAAUUAACAUAUUGAAUUUAAGAUGUUGGAAUUAUGAUUUAUUAAUGCAUUAGAGUUCAGAUAUAUAAAACAAAUCAAAAUUGGCAAUUGAAAAUGAAAACAGUAAACAGUGUUUUACAGAGAAUACUUAUAGAAACAAAAUAUAUUACAAACAACAACGUUGAUUUUUAAAGUUUCUGAUUUUUUUAUGAAGUUCUGAAAAUAUGUGAAAAUUUAUAAAAAUAUGUGAAAGUUUCCCAAAAGACGUGAAAUUUUCAAUAUCUUUUGAAAUUUCUUUUCUUCUCCUCAAAAUGUCCAAACAUGCUGUAAAAUAUGGUAACCAAUACUCAUAAAAAUCAAAUGUUUUAGCACACGAUGAAAGUUCCAAAAGAGAAAAGUUAAUUACUAUGAAUUCAUGAUGGUUUCUGUUAACAAAAAUGUGAGUUAUUUGAGUACAUUAAAUUUCCAAACGAGGCUAUCUAAUGAAAUAAGCAUGUCGACAAAAAAGUACAUAGAUAAAAGCUCCUUGACCUAAAAUAUAUACAUAAGUCUGUGGACAAAAGAAAGUAUACAUAUAAACUGUUUAAAAACUGGUAGCCAUCAACCCACUUUUCACCCUCUUUCCUAUGAAUUGCAAUGUGGCUUUCUAUUAGACUCACGAUAAAAUCAUUCGUCUUGGUAAAUGGUUUAAAAAAAAAUAGUUCUAACGUUAAAUGUUGAUUGAUGCAGUGCAUUUCCACUUCGUUUUGAGUUUGUAUCUUACCAUUAUUUUUUUAGAAGUUGACUUUGAUUUCCAUGCAUAUUUUGGAGUUCAUGAGUCUCGAUAGAUUCUUUUUUUUCUUUCUCUCAAAUGUUAUUAAUUAGCACCAAAGGUUUUCUCCUCAAAUAGAGAGUAAUUAAAGGUUACAGAUUAAUCCCCAAUGGAGUAAGACCAAAAAUUACAGAUUAGUAAUCAAAUAGAAUUUCAAUAGAGACAUUGGGGGAGAAGAACUUUAAGCAAUCGCUCUUCUCAAGCAAAGAUCAAAUUCAAUGGAAACAAGAUCAUCUCUAAUUAAAAAAAGAAAAGAAAGACAAUCUCUAAUUAAAAGUAAGAAGUAAACUUCAUGUAUAUGAGACAAAGAAAGAGUAUCAUUUUGUUUUUGUUCUUGUAGAUGAGUCAAAGAAAGAGUAUCAUUUGGUGUCAUGCAUGGCGAAAGGAGACCGACCAGAGUGUCAUCUGCUUUCAGAGUGCACGUUGGAUAGAGGAAUUAUAAAUUUAUAAUCAUGCAUGUUGUACAAUAUUACUACAAAUUAUCCAAAUAUUGUAGUUAAAAGAUAUUUUGUUGUUUUGAAGAAUAUAUAGUUUUGAAAUGAAGAUAAUGGAUAUGUUGUUAUAUAAUUAAUUACGAACGCACAACUCAAAAUGUCUCGCUAUGUUUUAAUUAACUUGCAAUCUAUUUCAAUUUACAAUUAUAUAUAUAAAAAAACUCUUUAUUAUACUCAUUUCAAAAUCGUUUCAGUUACAAAUCCCUCAUGUCACUCAAAAAUAAGUACUCUCUCAGGAAGCUUAACUAGAUAAUUCUCCCUUCAUAGAUCAAGUGGCUUCAAAACUAAUUGAACUCCAUACUUAGGUUUUAUAGUAAGCACAACUAUAGGAGCAUGUCUAUAGUUCUCCGAUAUUGCAAAACUGAAUUUGGAAACAAGCAUUGCUAAUAUUAUCUUCGCCUCCAUCAUGGCAAAAGUCUGGCCAAUGCAGUUCCUAGGUCCAGCCGCAAAAGGCAUAAAAUGGCGACUAGAUGCAAAACUUCUAGUAGUAAAUCGUUCAGGGUUGAACUCGUUCGCAUCUUCGCCCCAUAAUUCAUUACUAUGAUGGAUCGCAAGGACAGGGAUCCAAAUAGAUAAACCUUUAGGGAUGAUUAGGUCACCUAGUUUUAUGUCUUCAAAUGCCAUUCUUGGUAAAAGUGUGGCAGGAGGGUAAAGUCUUAAUGACUCGUUUAUCACUUUGUUUAACUGUUGAAAGAAGAAAAAUAAAGAAAGAGAGAUAAGUUAGUUGAAUAUUAAAUUACAUAAAACCCUUUUAAGAUAUCAUAUCUAACAAUCUUGUGAAGUGCCUUAUGACUCUUUCACAAAGAUCCCUUACUUGGUUUUAAGAAUUGCCUUUCAAGCUGUCCAAAUCGUUUAAUGAAUGAUUUCUUUUAGUAUUUUAUGCAAAGCAUGUUGUAGUGCUAAUUUUUUCAACAAGUGGAAUAUUUUACUUAUCUCAUUAUUAAAAUAUGCCUUAGUUCGAUUUUAAAUGUAGAAAGCCAAUUCAUCAUGAGUCUCUCUAUUGGUCUAUCUAAUCAAAUGUCGAAGCAAUGGUAAUGUAAAUUUCACUUUAGUCUAAUAAUUAAAUACCUGAAUUUGUUAUAUGUCAUACAUUUGAAAUGAAUUAUCUGACUUGAAACUACAUAUCAUAAUUAAUGGGAUAACAUAUUAAGAAGAUUUUCUAGAUAUAUCAUAUUAAAGUUGACCGGAUAUGUACUAAUUGAGAUUUAGUUACGGAAGAAGCACUACGACUUAGUGGCAUUGCCUGUAAGUGUGUUGAAUGAACGUAGUACCCCACCCGCACCCAUAACAAUUGGCGUUACCAUCAAAUUUUUAUUUUAUUUUUCAAAUGAAAGAUAUAAUUGUGAUUCUAUCCUAAUUCUCGACCAAAGUCAAAACUUUACUAGACAUGUGUAUAUGCAUAACAACGCAUAAGACAUUAACACAUAGUAUGUUUCAAUUUUUUAAAAUGUUAUACUAUUGUCUUCACUUCUUUUAAAAUCUCAGAUUUUUUUUAUAAGAUUCUUAUCUUUUGUAAAACUGUAAUGGAAACGUGAAACUCGUAUGAUCUUUCUCUUUCCGUUUGCUUUUAAAACAUUCAAAAAGAGUUCGGAGUUUUUGUUUUGGUCAACUAGAUCACCUUUACUCAUUUAUUUUAUUAUUUACAUAGGUUUGAAAGCGAACCAAAAAAAUAAAAAAAUAUAGAUAACGAAUUCUAACUUUACUAGCGAGAAAAUUACCUACCUCACGAUUAGAGAAGGAAAGAUAUAUAACAAUGUGGAAAUAAGAAAGACUCUAAAAGCUACGAUUUUACGUUCGAGAAGGACAUAACGCCUAAUUAACGAUUAAUUGAAAUUUUAUUUUUUUAUUAUUGAUUUUUAAUAUUUUGUUGAUAAAAUUUAAAUAUGAUGUUAAAAAAUUUCUAGAUAUAUUUUCCAUAUUCUAAGUAUUUUAUUAAAACCAAUUAGAAAUAUAAUAUAAGGAUGUCUAAGCUAAAAAAACAAUAGUUGAAUUUAUAGGUUUCUAAGCGGCCGAUAGAAAGGUGAUAAGAAUUAACCAUUGUUCCAUUGAAAAAACAACGAAGAAAGGUGAUAAUGUGAGUGAAAAUUAAGAACGUACCGAAGUAAGACUUGAGAGCUGUUCAACGGAAGGGACACCAUCUUGGCCACAAACUUGCCGGACCUCAUCGCGGACAUUGUCCUGCCAAGUGGGAUUAUGAGCAAGGAGCAUGAGAGUCCACGUGAGGAGAAGAGAGGUUGUCUCAUGACCGGUAAAGAAGAAAGUCUUGCACUCAUCCAUUAUCAUUUGAACAUUAAGGUUGUUCUUGUUGCUAUCCAUCUGGUUCAAAAGAAGCCCUAAGAGGUCAUCCCCGUAUGAGCUACUCCGACCGAUCUCUACACUGUCUUUUCGGCUGUCUAUAAUCUCCAUCAAAAGACGUUCCACUUCCGUUUUCAGAGACUUUAUUUCUCUAUUGUAUUUGCUAGGUAGAAACCUUUGAGACACAAAAGAUUAUAUAGUUACACGUUAAGUCAUCAAUUAGAUCCAUGCAAAUAGUAACCAUGUCAAAUAUUUUUAUCUUUCCAAUUUAAUAUGUUAGUGGAUAGUUUAUAUUAUCAACGUUUCAUUAAAUUAAGUACCACUAUAUAUAGAAUCGUGAAAACCAAAACAAAAUAUAUUAUUAACGUUUUAUUAUUCUUUUAGGAAAAUUUAUUUAAUUAAAAAACCGCAAAAUGACAAAAAGUUAGUAGAAUCAUAGAAUGAUUUAAUAUAAUUACUUGCAGUUCGUAACACAAAACAAUCAAAAGAAAGAUUUGUGAAAAAAGAAAAAAACUUACCGGCUACCGGGAAAACAGAGGUGGCGAGUGGCUUGAGCACAAAGACGUUGAAGUACAGUGAGUAGACUAAAAAGCUCCUUUCCUUUAUCACAACUACUUCCAAAUUCCGUCCUCGAUAUUAUAUCCGCCGUGAGCCGCCGCAUCUCCUCACCAAUUUCCACCUCUUCUCCAACCUCCUUUCUCAGCCUCUCAGCCAUCAUCUUCGUGCAUUCCACCAUAUGCUUAGCGUAUCCUUUGAGCCUAUCACGUGUGAAAGCCGGAGCUGCCAUGUGACGUUGGUGGUGCCAAGCCUCGCCGUUGGCCAUGAGAAGCCCACGCCCUAUAAACCCUUUAGUUCCUUGUUGUUGCAGCCAUGAUUUCCCGGUGACCGGAUUGUGCUUCGUUAGCAAUUCUUUAAUCAUCUCGGUCUCCGUUAGGCAUAGUCUCGGUUCUGUCCCGUUCCACAUUAUAAAUCUCUUCCCUGCAAAAGGCCAUUUCAGUCAUUUUUGAAGUGUGUAAUAAAAUAGAAAAUGCAUUGUAGGCAUGUCCGGUCCAAAGCAUAAGCAAAGGAAAGAAACUAUAAUUAUCCGCUUCAUAUUUUACGUUAAUAUUUGGGGAAAACAGAUUUUAUGUAGCAUAAGAAGAGACGUUUAAGAAAAAAAUUAAAUGGACAUCCGAAAACGUUGAACUGGUCAUGGGUACAUACCAUAUUGUUUGGACCAAGAGACGUAAUGAGGAAGAAGGCGUGGGACGAUGUUGUGGUGGAUGGAAGAGCAGUCGUUAGAAGCGGAGUGAGAGAGCAUUUUGGAGAUAUCAAUGAUGUUUCCGGUGAGGAGACGGGGUUUAGGCCCCGUGAUGCCUUGACGUUCCAUAAACUUCUUGAUUCGUCUUGGUGUGAGGAAGUAGCAACAAAUGGAGUCGUAUAGGACUCUUAAUAUCAAGGUCAUGACUAUCACGAGGACGUACUUUAGUACUAAUGUAACCAUCAUCUUUUUAAUUUCUUUGUUUUAUUAAAAAAAUAAACAAGAUUUUGAGAAAGAGAGAAAGAGAUGGUUUGGUGAGAGAUACGGAACAACCUUGCAGAGUACCAAAGCAUAUAUUUAUAGUGCUGCAGAGGAAGCAGUGGAGUUAAAACGAUAAUUCUUAUUCUUGUUAUUUUAUUUAGUCAUUUUUACUUUUUCAAAAAUGUUUUCAGCUUUUUCAAAACAAAUACUUAUUUAUUUGUAUUCUUAACACGACUUCCAUUUUAACAUAGAAACGAAUAUUCAAGAAAAUUCGUCGACUAAUGGCAGAUCCUAAAUUCAAUUAUUAUUAUUUUAACAGAUACUGUGGCUUCUAGUUUAUGAUUUAAAGAUUUUAUUUGUAAGUAAUUCCUCAAAUUAAGUAUGAUUGGUGAAAGUUGGUUGCUAUCUAGAAAACUGUGAAAUUUCUUUAAAAUCAGAUUUUCUUGUAAAGAGAGUAUAGUUGAGAAAGUAGUAGAUUUUUAAUAAUAACUUUUUAAAUAUACAUAUAUGUACAUACAUAUAUACAUAUAUUUUUAGUAACGAGAAUAUAGCAUAUACAAGCUGGAAAUAUUAUUUAUAUAGAAAAUGAUAAUAAAUUGCAACAUAGAAAUAUUUAUCCACUAAAAAUGUUGGGGACAAAAAUUUGCGGUUCACACCAAGCAUUAAAAAUAUUUAUACUUUCAAGAAAAUAAGAUCUGUUCAAUCAUUUAUGGUAUGAUAUAUUUUAUUUUGGUCUAUAUGGGAAUUUUGUUCCAUAGUUACUUUUUCUUUUCUUUGGGUAGAGUAUUACAUAAGAACUAUUUAAACGGCUUUCUUGUUUUUUCAAAAAUGCCUAACUUUAUUCUUGCAAAACGUAUCUGAGUCAGAUCCGAAAAUUCAUUCUUUUUCAUAUUGGCAAUAACCAGAUUUAUGUUUACGUGCUUAUCUACUUGGGUGAUUGAAAUCAACUAAUCAAGGGCACUUGUUUGAGUGCAUUGAGCUGCUCCAUUUCCUCAUUUAAGAUUUAUAACACUUUCUAAACUUUCAUAAUUGUUAGGUUUAAACGUUUCUGUAAUCUUUUACUGUUAUUAUGUUACAUAUGAAGGACCAUAAAAGUAAGAUUUAAUAAGUAUAUUAAAGUUUUAAGCGUACAUGCAAUUUGUUAAAAUUAAUAUUUUGGUGAAACAAAGAAAAUCUUGUUUGAUAUUUUGUUUGUUUGAUUGAAGUUUUAACAAUGCGUAAAUAUUGUUUCAUUGACAUUUUCAUUUUUUGCAACAAUUUUGUGUCUACAUUAUCGCUAUUACCACAUUCUUUUCGCUAUAUCGCCGAUUAAUUGUAUCAAAAACAUCAUAUAUUUCGUUUCUACAAUUGUAAAGUAUGUAACCAACAAAUCCAUUUUUUCAUGUCUAAUAGAUGGUACAUCUCAGACUUGAAUUUUACUAUUAUUAUUAUUAUUAUUAAAUAUCUCAAUCUAAAGCGAUUCAGAGAGAUAUUCAAACUCAGUUUUAGGAAGAUUUGUUAGUUACAUUGCAGCUCUCUUCUUCUUCAUUUUUUUUCCCUGUGAUUGGCUUUGUUCAUCUUCGAUGAUGGGAGUGGGAUUGACAAGUCGUGUUCUUUAGAAAUCGUAUGCUUCUUUCAUAAUUUUAAUCAAAACAAACAGUAAAAAAUUGACUGAAAAAUAACAUAUUACUUGUGUUUGUAAAAUUCUAAAAAUGGUUUUCAAAAUUUUCCCCAAAAAUGGUUUUCAAGAAAUUGGAUAUAUCAUACUUUUGGAUCAACUGUAGAGAAAGCAAUAAAGAAGGAAAGGACACAAGAGAGAUUGGGUGGAGUUUAGACAAAUUUAAGGGUCUCCAAAACAUUAGGCUGAACACAAUAGAUAUGGUGAUGCCUACUGUUUGAAAAACGACUAGAUAAGGGAUUAUGGACUUGGAUGACUUAUUUGGAAUGAAUUUAGCCGGCUUGGGCAUUGUGGAAAGACGACGGAUCAGGUUCAAUGCUCUCCCGAAGAAAGCAGAAUGUGCCAGCUAAACAAACUGUAAUGUGACUGUUGUUCCAAAUCAAUGUUAAAAUAUAAUAAAAAAUGACAUUAAGAAAAAAUACUGUUUCAUUCGCACUUUUAAUAUAGAAAUGUAUUUACUUAUAGCAUUUUUAACUUGUACUCUAGUAAUUUGUAAUUGUAAUAUUGAUGUUUAAAAAAUAUUAAUUUGAUCUAAACAAUUGAUGUCGUUACAGGUAUGUCGAUUUAUAUACUUUUUAUGAUUAGAAAGAAGAUUUGCCGUCAAUUACAAAAGCAAAAGCAGUGAUGGGUAAAGAUUGCGUAUCUUGGGAAAUGAAUAUGAAAAGCAAAGAAAACUUAUACACAUCAUAAUAAUCUCGAGAAAACAAGCUUGCCAAGAUUUCAACAAUCCACUUAAAAUAUUUAAAGAGAAUUAAAAGAUAAACAUAUCUGAAUAUUCUUUCUAAUAUUAUCUCCACUGUUUUAUUUACUUUUCUCGUCACUUUCUUCUUUGAAGAACAUGUUUGGUGACAAAGUCAUUCCGUAACAACCGGUUAUAUGGAUAUAUUGUACACGUUAUAAAUAAGAAAGAGUAUGUUUCCUUCACUUUGAAUAUACAUAUUGAGCUUAAUUCGUGCUAUUUACUAACCAGUGUUGUACAAAAUGAUUUGGAUGACUGUUUGUCUAGACGGACGGACAUUCUAGACAAACAGUUUUGUGACGGUUGUGUAUACGAUACCUAUAUAUUCGAUCCUGGUAACUGUUAUAUAGAUGUUAACUUUACUAAAAAUAAAAAAGUGAUUCAAAAGUUCAUGAUAUACUUUUAUUUUAUUUUGAGUAUAUUUUUUUCCUUAUGACUGCAUAGUUUUCUUAAUUUUCAUGUGAACAAGUUAGUGUGUGAGAAUUCUGUCUGAAAACUUCUUAAUACAACCAAAAGAUAUUUCAAGAUACUACUAUGCGAAUAUGUCACUAGAGUAACUCAUUUAAUAGUUUAUCAAAUGGACAUAUCUAAUAAAGAAUCUAGCGGAUCCUUCUCACAGUGAGUGACAUCCAAAUAGAUAUCGUUGAAUUAGAUACAUAAAGAUUCCAUUUAAAGAAGAUCAGAAUGUAAUUAAUAUACAAUUAGUAUUAUUUAGUCAAAGAUUGUAGAAUCAACAAAGAGGAUCAGAAAACCUUAUUUCAACUUUUAAAUGAGACUGAACAUUCUUUUUCCUACAACGUGCAACACAAUCCCAUGGCAUGCCAAGUAAAAAAGUGGAAACUUGUAGAACAAUCAAUCCCCAUAUUAUCAUGAAGUUUCAAAAGAAACCUCAGAAUUUUAUUUCUUCUGAAUACAUACCCAUUUUGUUUGGUCAAGUCAACAAAUGAUCAUUCUCUUUUCUAUGCCAUGAUAAAAUUAGUCGGCAAGUACUUAAUUUAAUCCUCCAAUUAGUGUACCAACUACUAAUGCAUAUAUAUAGUAUGCCGACUGUUUUCAUAGACUUAACCUUUAAUUGUUAGAUUUUUUUUGGAUCCCAAAAACAAAGAACGACUAACUUUGUUUCUAUUAUGCUGCUAACAGAUUUGCCUUGUUCAUAUUCAUGAACAUUUCUGUGUUACCUUUUGUUGUCAAUGUAACAUACGAAUUUGAAUGAGAUCGACUCCGAUCAAAUAUUAAAUUUACAUUAAACGUAUAUUUAGAUGUUGAAAAAACUUGUAGCACAGUUAAUCACCCGAUUCAGCAUUUACAUUGCCCCUGUAGUGACUAACUUUGUUACUGAAAAUUUUUAAAUCUGGUUAAAGUAAUUUCUUAGUCCACUGAAUUUUUGAAAUUUGUAAUUAAAAUAAGGUCGAGUUUUUAACUCAGGAAAACUGGGUGACCGAAAGUAUUCAGAUGAAGAAGUCAUAUAUCACUGUUAAUGAUUAAAGGGCUGCUGACCCAAAAAAGUGAUUCAUGUGACUUUAUUACAUUUUAAAUUGUUUACGAGAAUUUUCUUCUUCGGGUCAAAAGAAAAAAAAACAAAAGUGAUGAAAAAAGGUGAGCGAUAAUAUAAGAUUGUUGAUAAAAAUUAACAAACUGAAGUAACAUAUAAAUAUUCGACCUUUUGUUUUACUUAUAACGAGCUUUUUACUUAUGUAGUAAUGUAUACGAAAACCGAAUUGCAGACUUAAACUAAGAAAUGUUUGAAUGGGAGAGUAUUAACAGUUGUGAGAAUUCGAAAGAGAAGAGAAGAGACUUUUUUUAUCAGAUAUGUAUAUACUAAAGAGAUUGUAGCAAUAACAGUAUUUGUGGUCUGAUGUGAUUAACUAAGGUUAUUGCAUAUAAUGUGUACAAGUCUAAUUCACAAACUAAGCUAAGCUAAGUUUUUGUAGGCCUCGACCCUUUCUCUUCCAACAAGUGUUCAGUCCCGCGAGCUUUGCAUCAGCUCGAACCACUGCAAAAACAAAAACAAAACUUGUCAGAUAUCUAAGUAUUUUGACAGUGUAGAAAACAGAGAAUGGAUAGUGAAAAGUUACCUGUCUCAACACAUCACCAAGUGUUCUGGGUAAGGCUUCGAUGUCUCUUAGCACAAUGUAGUAUGGGAAGGGGAAGGAAUCCAAGUAAUUCAUUUUCUUAUAAGGUCUCCUUUCACCAUCAUAUACAUAGUCCUGAUUAGAGAACAAAAAAAAGAUGUAGUUUUUUUAGAAUCAUUCAUGAUAACUACUCGUUUCAAUCUUAUAAAUAUGUAUAGGAAGUAAUAGAAUUGGACAUACCGCUAAAUCAAAAACAGAUUGCUCUGCGUCAUCGAGAAGCAGAUAUACCACCAUACGUUUUUGCUGGAGAAAGCUUCUAACAGUUCGUUUCAACUUCUCUCGCUCAUGGAACUUCCCAUCGCCGAUGAUUAGUACAAGUUGUUGAAGCGGGUUGCUCCCGUAAGACUGUCGUCUUGUGCUGGCCAAAUUCUCUAGCAUUUCAUUCAUGUUUCUCAGCAGAUUGACGACUGGUUGAUCUUCAAUGAGAUUUUCUUGUUUAAAUGUCAAAUUUGAGAUCAUCUGCAUCACAGAAACGAGAAAAGAUGUGUUUUGUAAGCAAUCAGAAGACAAUCCACAGUGAACACAUGGGAAAUGAAAGAUUUAAGGCCACUAACCUUAAUGCCGGAUUCUGUGGUGAAAGACUGACCAAAAUCAUGUAACAUCUUUAUGCUCCCUUGCUUCCCGAAACUUGCCACAGCCAAACUUCCCAGCUCAAGCUGUGACAUAGCUCGGCAUACCGUUGCCAAAGCUCUAAUUGCAAAAUCACCACAUCCACUUUCUGACAUGCUACGCGAGUCAUCCACAGCGAUAACAACUUGGUAAUCACGCUUGUUUGGUUUUGUCCUCCUCAACCAAAUUUUAUCUUUCCGAUAGUGACUUGCUAUGUAUGGAAUAACCUUCUUCAUGUUGAUCCUUUUACCCGUUCUGUAGUCACCACUGAGCUUGCUAGCAAGCGUGGGUUCUAAGAUAAGACGUAGUUGCUCAGCCAGCUCCUGAGACGGUUUUGCAGUAAGCAAUUCACAUCUCCUCCAAAGAACAACAGCAUUGCUUCUGGCAUCUGGAUCUUCCUGAUUAUCCUGAUUGCUUUCCGAGUCAUUAUCAGUCACUUGCAUCCGGUCCAGAUUACAUGCCUCUUCCCCCAAGAAAGUAUUGUCGACAGAGACCAUAGAGUCCAUCCUACUGUUACCAUCACCAAAAUUAUGAAUAGGAGAGUUCUCUUGGUGGGUCCUAUCUGUAUCUGGUUCUUGGACCUGUUCCGCGAUGCUAUUACUGAUCGAUGGUUUGGAUUGGACAGCAGGUUUGUUUUCUGGGUUCAAGUCAUCAAUAUCCAUUGGAGAGACAUCAUCCUGAUUACCUGCAAGUUUUUCUUCUUCGGAUUCCCCUUCUCUCAUAUCUGUGUUCACUUGCUCAGGCAACGCAGGUCCUAGAGCUUGGGAAGUUCCUGCAUCAAACUGAGAAGCAAAUCCAUAUUCACUAGCAUCAGGGUCUUCCAUCUCAUUUUCAGCCUCUUGCUUUUCUCCAAGGUCAGAGGAGAUUCUAACUCUUUCUUUCCACUCCUUCAAGGCAUCACCAACGUUCCUAUAAGGAUUGACCUUGGUUUGUUGAGCAGUAGAUGACUGGUUUUGAGGAAAUUCCAUCUUUGGUAAGUUGUCUGUCAAUGUCUCACCGUUGGCCAUGUUGGUCAUCAUGAGGUUCAUUUCCGUGUUACUACUCGAAGGCAGAUCCAUUGAAUCAGUGAGUUCAUCCGUAACAUCAGUAGCAGACAAAUUUUCUUGUGGUGCUGUACUUCCUGCACCCAGCACAUUAGACCCAUGGGGAUUUUGUGAACCAGACUCUACGCCAGAAAUAUUAUCAUUACGGAAGUUCGGUUUCAUCAUGUCUUCUGACAUAACUUCUUUUCCUUCUAUUGGUUCCGUUUCUGGUUCCUGUUCAAGAUCAUUUCCAGGUUCUUCUUUUUGGGGUGAUCCACACCUAUCUUCAGCCUCAGCCUCCAUAUUUUCCUCAGAUGGCUCUUGAGUUUCUUCUUGAUCAUUUUCACCUUCUUCAGGAUGCUUUUGAUCUUCUGAACAAGGUUCUUCCUGCUGAUUUGCAUCUUCCUUUUCGACCUCCUCUGUUUUGUCCAUCUCCAUGUCAUCAUCAAUUUGUUCAUUAUCGACAUCAGGAGUUAGUCCACCAAGUGCUUCUUCCUUGGUCUGGAUUUUUUCUUCUAAAUUAUCUGUAUCAUCAAAAUCAUCCUGCUCCACAUUCUCAUCGUUUCCUUCUUCCGGUUUGUCAGAAGUAUUGGACUCCUCAGGCUCAUCAGCAGUUUCAACACCAUCAUCCUUGGCUCUUAGCUCCCUUGAUCUUGUGUCCUUGUCGACUAUAGAUGGUCCAGAUUCAUUCUUCUCAUUCAUAUUUUCUUCCUCAUCUUCUUCAUCCUUGUUCCAUGGCUUUUCAUCGGCUUUUUCGGCAUCAGAUCCCACAUCUCCUAUUCCAUUAUCCAACGGCUCAUCCUCACUUCCUUCGUCUUCCUUGUCUUCUUCUUCAUCCUCACUAACGCUGUAUUCUUUGCCAUCAAAUUCGUCACUCAUCUCAAUGCCUUUGUUUUUACCCAGCACAUCAUCUUGCUCUUUCUCUUCCUCUUCCUGCAAAGACAACAGAAGAAAACUCGAUUGGUAAAAUCCCAUAGAAAAUUCAGGAUGAGUGGCAGGCAAUAAGGAAAGAGGCAGUAUAAACCUUCUUAUCUGUGCCAUGCAGUUGGUCUUCAUCUUCUAUUUGGUCACUUACAUCUUUUGCCCCCACACCAUCUCCCAUACCAGUACCUUCUGCAGCUUCCGAUUUGUCAACUUUAGAGUCAUCAUCUUCUUCAUUUUUGGAGAUGCCAAAUCCUUUUGUAAAUAGAUCGGCAAGAACACUUGCAAGGACAUGGGUUAUCAGUGAAACCUACAGACCAAAAGCACAGAUGUUGUUGUCUUAUUGGAAUAAAAUAGUAGAAGGUGUGUAAAUGCCGAGAUCUCUUCACACUAACUAACAUGCUUGACAUUCAGGAGGUUGUUUAAAGAAAAUUUAUCAAUUAACAGGAUCAGUUUAAAGAGAUGAUUGUCCCGAAUGACUUUGAAAGAACAACAUAAGAUAAACACAUACCGUUUUGCUUAUCGCCAAAAACUCUUUAAGGUAACAAUCCCCAAAGCUCAAUAAAAGAUCCAAAAAUGCUUGAAGUUGCUUCAACUGGUCUCCAACACCAGCUGAAAGGACGCCUGAUGAGUUCAACAGUUGUUCCUAUGAAGAUAAAAGCCUCAGUUCAACAUAAGCUUGAAAAUAAAAGGAAAAUAGCAUCCGCAUACAUCAAAAGACAAUCCAACUUACAAUGGAACCAAAUGAUUCGGACAGGAGUUUACACAGGUUAUCAAGGUUCAAGUCAUUUUCUGCCUUCUUAAACAGACCAUCCCAUGUAGUAAUAUUCAUUUCCUCUUCUUGAGAAAGACUUCCAUCUUUAUAAGAGCAAAGCUUUCCAAUCACAUCCUUAACAUUUGCAAAUAUACUUGCAAGAUUUUCUUCAAGAAAUAGUCGUUCCUUGGGUUCCAUUCCAGUUGACUGGUCUCUCACGUUAAGUAAGCAGUUCAGAUUUUCAGCCAACAAUUUCCCCUGCAUCAAAUAAAGUUCUUCAAUAUGACUCUAAGAAUCCUAAACGCAAUUUAUUUGCUAGGCUUGCAUCUGGAAAAAGAUAAAACUAAUCCACCAAGGCUGAAUAAAUACCUCUUUAAACACAGGGGAAAAUUGACUGAGAAGAACGUCUCUGCAAUAGCUUUUCUCAUUGUUUUCACAGAAACUUGAAAUUUGGUUCUCAAGGUCCGUAAGUUGAUCAAAGUUCUGGCGUAGCACCUGAACCAUAUGCUGAGUGACAAACUGCUUAAGACUGCUACUUGGUGUGAUGAUAAAACCGUUGCAAUCAAGUAGAAGCCUAUCCAGCGAAGCCUGAUGACAACAACACAUUCAGACUCUUGCAAGAAAUAACAGAGCAGAAAGAUUUAAAAGAAGCCCAAGGAUACCUUGGAAUUUUGAGCGAUGGGAAUUAGUAUUUCAAUAAAGCUGAGCAAACUCCGUGAUGAGGUUUUCACAGCUUGACAGGAAUCCAAGUGUGUACUUCCAACUGUUCUCAGUAAGGCCGACUCCUCAAGAAGCAUUGCAGUAAUGUUAUCAAAGAGUUGCUGUCAUAUCACAAAAAAGCAAAAGCUUAAUCCAGUGUUGUUGCAACAGACAUUCAGUGCACAUCAUUCAAGUUAGAAAGCUGAAAUACCUUCUGUAGCCACAAGCAAUUGAAGACAGCAUGUUGAUUUUGGGGGAAACUGAACACAGAAUCAUCCUUUCUAUCCGCACCAACUGAAUCACCCAGUAAUCUCGCUAGAGAUAAAACACAUUGGCGAAAGCGGUUGAAAAGUUCGGCAAAGGCAUACGCAGAUUUCCUUUGUUGCCGUUGUAUUUCCACAAGAUGAUUGAGAAAUGAGAUUGCCCGUUUAACCUGUUAACAUAGGAUGGUUUGCAGAAACAACUGGUUUAAAAUUGAGACUCGGUGAAGCCCAGAUAUAAAUUACAAGCUUCAAAGUCUACCUGCUCAGCUGUUACAUCGGAGUGUUUUCGGUCAAUAUUUAACAUGAGUUGCACUGAAGCCAAGCUCUUAAAGUAAAACUCAUUUGCCACUCUCCACUCAACUAGUGAAUUUUCCUUGUUUUGAUCUUCUACACCCAUGGAAGGAUGUAUGUUACUUUUGGUAUGUGUUAGCAGUAACAGAUGCUUUGGAUCGUAUGCUGGCUGAUAAAGCAACCCUUUAAAGUGAUUUGACAUCUACAUAAGAAGAUGAUCAGAGAAUAUAUAUGAUUAAUAAACAGAGCAUGACUAGAAGAAACAUACACAGAAGUAUCGACAAGCAAAAGUAUAUUACCUCUAUAUUUUCAAACUUGUGUUUCUGCAAACCACUACUUUCUAAUAACUUGAGAAGUUCAAACAGGGCCCUCUUCUUUGCAACAUCUCUAUCACUGUUUCUCCAUAGAUCUGAACAGCCAGCUAUGGUUUCACCAAUCCUAGCAACCGUACUCCACAAAUUUUUCCAAUCACCCUGAUAGACAGGGGACGAAUACUGAUGCUCUGCAAAUAUAUUAUGCAAGCUUAAGAAUAUGCAGACUCCCCAAAAAUAAAGGAAAAUCACCAAAUAGAACCAAGAGAGAAUGGAGUUAGUGUACAAACGAACCUGCACCCAUCAGCAAUGUUUUAUAGUGCAUUUCUUGGUGAAAGCGUCCUACCGAUUCCUUUAAUUUAUUCCACCAGACAACAUACCAUGAAGACCUACCAAGAAAGUUUAAAGCAUAUAUGAUGGAGGGUUCAACUUCCAUAAACUUCUCACAAUGCAUGCAGAAAGGCACAGGAUGCAAAUGUAUACCUGUCCCUCAAUUGCUCUGCAUCUAAAGCACUAACUAGGACCUCGAUCCUCAUGUCGGAUGCUCCAUCCAUAAGAUCUGGAUCUAGUAGAGGGAGAAAUUGAGCUCGUUCCUUCGUCAGGUCUGGCUUAACAAGCAUUACAGGGAGGCGUAGCAUGUCCUGCUCAACAAAAAAGAUGCCAAUUAGAAAACUUUUUAAUAAGGUCCCAUCAUUCAGACUCAUAUAAGCCAACAUAGAUAACUGAGAGUCGUGUGUUUAUAUAAUAGUCCCCCAGAAAAAUGAAGAACCAAUAACUUACCGUAAACUUCUGUAUCAGUUUCUUGACCUUUUGCCUGGUCCUUUUAGUGGUCUCAUUGUACAAAUAAUUAUCUGGCCUCUCCCACCGACAAAGUUUAAGAACCUCCUUUAACUCAGUUUCAACAUUUUUUCUAUUCAAAUCUAACUGCUCCAUUACACUGGUAAGAGAAAUUUAAAUUGAGAACAUUACCCUGGCAAAAUAAUCGUGAACUAAUAAUCUUAAGACAGAAUUGGAAAGGAGCUUACACCGGUAGAAAUUGAAUAUAGAAUCCAAAAAUAUUGUAGCACAUUUCCACCCUCCUCUUGUGUGAAUCACUGUCAAAGUAAAAGCGGGAGUCAAAGACAGUCAAGUUAGAAGUCAACUGUAAAAACAGCGGAGGAGCAAUCAACUGUGAAGACUUAAGUAUAUAAUGCUGAAGGCCCUUUAAAUCCUUCAAGAAUGAUACUGACGAGGAAAGAGGAAAAGAAGAAAUCAGGCAAUAAUUCAUACGCAGCUAACCUUGAAUAUAUCCCCAACGAGCUACCCAUACUUAAUUGAAGAAGGAAACAAAAGAGAAGCUGAAGACGUCUCCUAAAUUCACCAACAUUUGACGUUUCAAUGAACUCCACCAAACUGCAACAAAAAUAUCUGUUAGAUGACCGAAUACAUGCAAGAAUGGAAAUGUAAGCACCACAUCAUUUGUUUGGUGCACACCUUUGUGAAAUGGACUCGUUUUCAUGUUCUGAAAUUUCCACAGCAUCCUUCUGAAACAGAACUGAAAACAAAGGAAGCCACAACUGCAACAAGAAACAAAAAGUGUUACCCUUAACAUUAUUUUUGUUCAUAAAACAAAAUCUUCUAAUUAUACCAACCUUCCUAGCGUUUAGUUCAUACUGAUCCUGAACCUCAUCAAGCAAAGUAGGCCAGCGCUCAAAUUCCACCUUCUGCCAAGAGCUUGCUAGGGAAAUAAUUGGCUCCAAAAGAUCUGUAGGAUAAAAAAAAAGAAGGAAAACACAAUGUGACACCUGAAAAUAUCAUAAAUAAUGGCAGGAACGAAUGUUUAGACUGAGAAGAGUCCAUAAUCAACCCAUUGUAAGGAGAUUAAAAAUCAAUACCAGAGAUGGGCAAUUUACAUCCCUCUUCCUGUAACUUGUGAACCUUGCAGAGCAGAAAUUGCAAUCCUGAGAGAGCCUUCACAAAAAAUGGCAAAUAAGAAAGUAAUGGUUUAGUACAUAAUGCUUAUGAUGAACUAACAAGAUCAAACAAUGACGGCAGGCAAUGCAAAGAAAUUAAUUCUGUGGGUACAAGUUACCACUGCAUUAAUACUUUCCAUAACAUUGUUACCAAAGAGUUACUUUGUUAGUCAUUGAUAGAUCUUUUGUUGAGUAUAUAAAUACCUUUGCGAGAGGAGUACUGGAGGGAAUAGCCAAGAGCAUCUGAAGUACACCAGAAAGUUUCUGAAGACCAGGAUGGUCCUCCCGUUCUUGCAAUAGAGAAUUAAUUCUUUGUUGAAGAGGAGUGAGAAACUUGACCAUUUUCCCCAGCUCAGGACCAUCCAAAUCCUAUAUAAGAAACUGUCAGAACACAGGCGGACAGACCUAAAACUAAAAGCAGAUAAACUUCUUAAGGACGUAAAAGCUUUCGCAGACCUUGUAAAAGUUAUAUUUACUGGCUGACUGAUAGUUUGAAGUGAAGUUUUUUUUGUUUUCCAGGCAAAGACGAAGUAGGUGUUCUGGAACAAGUUUUGCAUCCAAGCUCGAUGUAAAUAAACCCCUUAGCCCUGGAAUCAAGAGAUAACCCUGUAAUAGCAUUAAUAAAAUGAAUUUAACUACGUUAAACAAUAGAGAGAAAUAGUGUCUAAUCACCUUUGAUCAUACUGACUCCAAGUUCAUAGGAAUCAGUGAACGAAUCCAGUCUUCUACUGUCAGUAAUACAGAAUCUUCCAGACUGAAUAGAAUAAAUUGUCUUGUUAGAUACAAGAGAAUUGAGAGUGAGCCUGAUGCAACAAUUGCAGAUUUGAGUUCCAAUACCUUUUCAGAGAGGUCACAGAAACCAAAUAACUCAUUAUGUGUGCUAUAUAUACUAUCCAGAUGCUCCUGUAUCAAGUCCCAAUCAUCCUCCAAAUUUUCCUCAUCCUGGUCAAUAUGUGUCUGUGGAGAGGAAACAGAAAUCAUAAGUAAUAAAGAUGAGAAUUCACAAGUUCCAGUAGACCAUAAGACUGAAGGGUUUACCAUAUCUUUCACAUUCUUCGUAUCAUCAUCAGCCAGAUACUCUUGCCACUCAGAGAAACUUUCGUUUGGGAAAUACUUGCCAAGGGCAGAUAUAUCUACUUCCAUGACACUAUCAAUUUUGAAGUCCCGGGAACGAAAUUUGUACAGCCCAGGAAGAUUGUCAGCCUUUGUUUUGGCUUGAAACUUCAUCUCCAUCCAAAUUCUCGCCAAUUCAACAUAUAUCUUGUCCAAUAACUGCGGAUAGAACUCUUGCGACAUUAGAUAACAUAUUAACAUAUUCAUAUGCAUACAACUAAGUAAAUAUUUUACCUCAAAAGAAGCUUCAUCCAGUAGCCCAGUAUUUGCGACAAAUUGUAAAACACGAGCAUGGAGAUUUUUAUAAAGAGCAACUUUGAGUUGCAACUCUGAGGCCUACAAGAAAUAAGCAAAACAUAAAGAAUACAUGAAUAGAUUUCAAAAUUCUGACAAUCUUUUUUUAUUAUUUGAACGGAUAUCAUCUCUAAAGACUGGAAUUUCAUGAAAUCAUAUUAAACAUUACUUUUCUCGAAUCUUCUGCACUUGAAACAGAGAUAAGUUUGUGCAACAAGCCAACAUCCAAACCUAAGGACUUAGCACGAGAAUUUGCACCAUGGGAAAGGUGCAAAGGUGGCAAACAUUCGGUGUAGGUAGUUGAAGCUAUCGACGAGUCCCUUGGAAAUCUCAUUAAGGCAUAAAUUGUUUCCUGCCAGACACAUGGAGUCAUUAAGUUUGACUACACGAAAUGACAUGUUUAAAUAUUUCCGAAAGACAAGAGGUUAAGUACCAUGACUGAGUCAACCAUGUCUAUGUCAAAUCUGUUGAGAAGUUUUCCCAAGAGAGCACCAGAUACAAAGAGUGAUAAACCCAAUUUCAUCUCGUACACUGAAACUUGAAUUGGCUGAGUUAUAUCGACAUAUUCAGAAUAGUCACUUGACAUCCGAUCAAUAAAAGAUAUUGCUGUCUCCUGCAGAAUCCAAGGAAUUGAUAUUUGAAAAUGAAGCUUGAUGGCUAAAGCAAAAAGAAUACUAAUGACAGUCAUGAGAUAAACAUACCUGCCAGUUGAAAACCUGCUCAACAACCUGAUUCCAAUCAAGCACUUCAAUAUCGUUGACCAGACUUAUGGGACGUGUGAGAAAUCCAGCAAAUUCAUCCAGCGCCCUUCGUAAAUCCUGGUACUUUUUUGGAUCAGAUCUAAAAAUAACCUGUUUCAGAAGGUAAGAAAAAAAGGUGAGCAUGAAAAUGGGAUAGGUCAGAUAAUAAUUAUCACACAGCGAAGAGGUGAAAAACCUAUGGUAGCUGCUACAUACCUUUCUUUGCAAUCUUUUAUGCUCAGUUUUGAGCUUAGAUAAUGUAUGUUCACUGCUUUCGUCAUUGUUUCCAGAGUAAAGCAAUCCAGACAGAUACCCACAUUCUCCCCGGACCUGGUAAUACAUGAAUAGGCCAAUCAAUGAAACAAAGACGGACAAUAUGCAACUGCUAUUGUGAACCUACACAAUACGAAAGAGUAAGCACCUUGAUGUUUAGCUCAAGUGAUGAGAUUUUCUCUUCUAGCUUUAACAGCUUGCAAGUGAUCUUCAUGGCUGGAUCUAUAACAUCUAAGCUAUUCAAAAGAUGGAAGCGUAGUCCUCCAAGAUAAAGCCACGCCAAGCCAAGAUUGCAGUAGAAUUCUACAAAAGUUGGGCAUAACGCUGUAUUAAAUAAUUACAACCGUCGAGGAAGGUUUGCCUUGCUAAGAAUCAAACUUCUACAGCUCAUAUAUAAACUAUAAAACAAUACCAUUUGAUGAGCUAUCGGAAUAAAGACGUUUUGCUAAUGGUCCGACAAAUGAGUGAGUAACGGAUUUCAAUUUAUUAUGGCUUGAUGAGCCAAUCAGUGAGAUAAGAUUCUGUAUUCCAUCCAUCUGCAUAAAGGAUAAGAGAUGCGUAAACUUGGAGAUGUAGCUAUGUUUCACAAAGAACAUAAAGUACUAAGAAGAUUCCAAUAUUUUUGACAAGAAAAAGGGAACGAAAAAUAGAAAAUAUAACUUAGAAUCAUACCUUGUUCUGCUUUUUCUCAAUUGCAUGAAAUACAGACUUAAUUGCCACAAACGUUUCUGACUCAAAUGACUUUUGGUGCGUAUAUAUUAUCUACAAAGGUUAAAAUCAAGAAUAAAAAAGUGCACAAUGGACAACGAAACAGAAUAUACUAUUCAAAUUUAUCACGAUUUCAGUACCUGUUGGAAAAGGGAACGUGCAAUUGACAAUAGAGAACCAGGCAUUUCUUGAUAGGGUUGUGAGCUUUUCCAUAGAUAUCGUGAAGCAGAAAGAAGUUUCAUUGAUUGAACAGAAUAAUCCUUAACAGAAAAUACAUUUUCCCUGCAGAAAACAUUAUUAAAAAGAGCUUCAUUGUAUGGUUAAAUGGAAUCACAGUUUCCCAUCAUCAAACAUUAAAAGUGGAUUAUCUUGGAGGGUAAAGCAUUGUAGUCAUGAAUAUAUCAAACAGAAAGGAAAAGUAUGGAGCGUUUAACAUGUUCUUAGUUGAUCAGAAGAAGCGAGUAGCAAAACAAAAUAAAAAAAUCUCAAACAUAAUAAAGGAGAUACAACUCUUACAGAAUCUGAGCAACGGUAGCUGUUUUCACAGGCUGAAUCAGCAUAGAAGGUGACAGAAUCUGACAGUUGCCAGUGUCUGAGAUAUUCUGUAGGCCCCGUGAACAUGAGAUGAAAGAAAGAUGUUACUAAAUGCGCAAUCUAAAAAGUAGCAUGUGAACAAAAAUCAUUAAGUUUACUAUCUUAUACCAUGAGACCAAUUUGACUAUUUUUCCACAAUACAGAAUGCCACCAGUACCAAAUCUCGAGAGCAAAACCAGCAAUUUUGGUGUCCACUGCAACAUAGCCAAAGUUAAUCAGCAAGUACACCUUAGUACACAGAAAAAUUGUUGAAUAUUCAACUUUGUUUACCUCCUAGUUCAGAGGCAUGUGCAUCAAUUGCCCACAGGAGUUUUUGAUGAGCUACAAGAGUCUGUGGAGGCCUGGUUGAGGAUAAAGAAUAUUCUAGAGCCGGUUUGAGCAGUUUUCGAAUGUCCACAAGAUCCUGCAACUCAAAAAGGUAAGAAGCAAACAGGAAAAUGACUUUAACCAGGCUUUACAUAUAGUAGUUAUCAUACGCACAUCUUCUCCAUUAACUUUCAAAUAAAAAGAAGACAUUAGCUUAUAAAAAUAAAAAAAUAAAAAAAAAAUUCCAACUAUCUACUAACCUGAUGUUCAGUAGGUCGAGCAACCAAGAGGUGCUGAAGUGCAGCAAGUAACUCUACGUCUAGAGAACAACUUUCACUGCUAGCAAUAAAACAUGUCUUCACCCAACUGCUAAAUCCAGACCCUGUAGUCACAAUCUCUGGACAGAACACGCAGCAGGAAGCAGUUAUAUUUUCAGUAUUGUCAAUCUCACUGAAACCCAUUUUAUCCUCCAGUCUCUUCUUCUCUAGUUUCAGCCUCUCCAAAAAAGUCUGGUGAUGAUGGUGAAAUUGUGAGUAGCAGAUAGAGACUCAUUCAUUACACACAGCAGAAAAAAAAGAUAACAAACCUGGUAGAUCUCAUCCAGCUGAACAGCAGCUACAUAAUCUACAUCGUCUUCGUCAGCAAUGUAUGAUGAAAUGCAAAGACCUGCAGAGAAAUACAACAAUUUGAAUCACAUCACAAUCAUACAAUCACAACAACUACGAAAUUGUUAUUAGGUUUCCCAUAAAAAAAAUUGUUAAGCCUGUUGUUCACAGAAGAGGUUUUUGGGAUAAGGGAAAAAAUCCCAAGAGGAUAACAAACGAUCAGUAUUCUCGGUAUUCUAUACAGUCAAAGAAUUAUGAUUCAGUUUCAUAUACUUCUACGUUUAACCAUGACAAUCAAUUAUCCCUUGGUUGAAGACAAAAAUAUAUACACUUAAAAUGAAACCAAAAAUGAGCAAUAUUGAUAAGGUAGAGUUACCUUCCAAGGCAAGCAAACAUAAUUCAGGGCCAGAAAAUGGAAUGGCUUUGGUAAGAUGAUCAUUUCCUGCCAACAAAAACAGCUAUCAGAAGACAGUUUAAUUUUCUCUAAUAAACAAUCAGACAUGUAGUACUGAACGCUUUAGAUAUCAAACCGUGUUCAUCUGAUUCUGAUUUCAAUGGCCAAACUGUGCUGCACAGCUGUAGAAACUCUUGCUGCUUGUGGAACAGCUCUGCAGAUACCGGCAAGGAAGGAUGUCCCCCAUAAGCCCACAGCAUAGACUUUUCAGGGUGACCAUGCAAAACUAUGUUGUUAAUAUUUUUGCUUUCCUCCUACAGAAGAAAGGCAAUGAUGUUAUUGAGUAACCAGUAUGAUAAUUUGAGAAAAGAAACUGGCAUAACUGAAAGGUACCCUUACCAGAACCACCUGAACUUCUCCAGGGAAAAAACUGUGCAUCUUUUUGAUAGAUUUUAUCAGUGACCAAAAGGAAAACAAUAGAUACUCAUCUGAAGAAGAGACCAAACCAGACCAAAAGAAUGAAUGGUUGUCAAUAACUUCGGUGUACAACUGAAUCAACACACUGAAAGAUGGUGCUCCAACAAUUUCGCAAAGAAUUUUCUUCUCCAAUACGCGAAGCGAAUCCAAAAACCGAGUAAAAGUGGAUACAUCUGUGUGGUUGUCGUUGCUCUCUACAAGCCACUGCUGAUACGAACGACGAAGAACGCCAACAGAGUUGAGAGACUCAAAGAGGGAUUUACUGUAAGGUUUGGACUGGUCAUUUGAUGCGGCUACAUCAAUCAAUUUGGAGGACAGCAUAGGAAUUGGAACAGCAUCUGGAUCCAAUCUGCAGAGGAAUUUCAGAUUUUUCCGACAUCUAGAUAUAUGAUUCCAAAUUGGAUGCUCAAACUCAACCUUCAACGUAUUGAGAAAACAAAGCAGAAACGGACAGUGUUGUUGCAGUCUAGAACCAAACCAACUAAACCACGCAAGAUAGAGUUGAAUAUCCUCUUCGGUUGCCUGUUCUAUUGUCCAGUUGGCAGCAAACAAUAGCAUUUUUGAAGCCAAAUCAUUUUCAAAAUUUGCUGCAUCUGGUGCACAGCUUGACCCAAUUAAGGCUUUAGGAAACAAGACUUUUUUAAGCGUCCAAGAAUCAAUAGAAUAAAUAAUUCUUGGUUCCCCAGCAGCCAACUCCCUAUCUCUUGAUUUGACAUUGUCGCUUAUUUUAGGCUGAUGUGAGGCAUACUGAGCUCCUAGGAACUCCAGAUACAUGCAAUUCUGUCUUACUGUUGUUUCUCUUGAGUACCAUGUCAAGUCUCUCAAGUUGAAAGGCUUUGGCCAUCCUCCAGGCAGGUACAGAUCCCCACCCAUAAAUGAAUCAAGCUCAGAAAGUUCAACAUCUGAUAAAUAUGUCUCACGCACAAAAUCAACAACUUCUUUUCCAUCAGUUACCCCAAGCGAAGAGAGAUAGAUGUGCUCCCAACUUAGCUGUAAGCUCCACAAAAGUUGAUUACCAUUCAUGAGCAGCAAUUGGAAGAGGUGAACCCACUGUUCGAGCUCAAGAUACGUGAUCCGUACACCAAAGCUUUGACCGUUUAGCCAUGCAUGAACAUGUGCUUUGGCCAUGGAAGUAACCAGCUUAUAACCUGGAAUACCUGACAGAGCAAGAAACCUUUCCACACCUCUCAGCACAAGCUCUUCACAGUUUGAGCCAUCCUCAUUGAGCUGCCAAUGUGGCCCCAUCAUAAAUACCUCAACGCCUCUAUUCCUCAUUGCUCUUGAUACUUCCCCAAAUUUUGGAUUUACAGACAGGAACAAACGAAAGUUUGGGUGCGGAACCACAGUGACAGGUUCACCAUUAACGAUCCCGCAUUCAUUUAUAGUGAUUGAUCCACACGGUUCCACCAAUGAGUUAAUUCUAUCAAGUACCUGAAAUUUAAGUUAAAAAUGGAAAUUAGCUACAAGGGAAAUUAUCAGAAUUGUUUCUAAUUAUCAGGGUUAACGCAAAAGGAAUGUAACCAGUACAUGAUAUUAAAAAGGGAGAUUAUAACAAUACCGUGGGAUUACAGAGAUUAGCAUUUUUGAGGACAACCCACUCUCCCUUUUCUAUUGCCUUUAUCAGCAUUCCUGUCACCCAUUCAAACUUUGUAGACUGCUUUUUCUCAUGAGUUUGUAACUGCAAUAUAGUCUUCGAGAUUUGUUCCAGAUACUUUUUUGACCAACUAACGGGUAAAACACCUUCUUUCAAGACCUGUUCCAGGUCUUCUACAACCUCUUCUAAUGUAGACAGUGUUUCAGAGUCGUUCAAGAAGAAUAAUGGGUUCUCCACGAGAGAGGAAUCAAUCUUAUUUAAAUAGGAAAGCCAUCUGGAAACUAAGCCACUCCUAUUGCUGAAAAGGGCCUCCUGGGAAGACUGUAAUAGCAGACUGUUAUACUCAUCGACAAGGUGCUCAACUCGAGUCAUCACCAAUCUGAAAUUACGGAAGGCAUUGUACUGCUCAAAGCAUCCGAGUAGAUCAGAGCUGUCAGUCGCAGACGAAAGAUUUAAUUCAUUAAGAGGAUAUCCUGUUAACUGAGCCAAUAUUCUGAUCACCGAAGUCUUUCCAGAUGACGAUGGUCCGACUAGGAUGCACAACCAUUUAUUCUGCACACAAUGUGCAACAGCUUCCAGAUUUUGACGGAUUUCAGGCAAAAGUUUCAACUGCUCACUGGCAAUAUUAGACUGAUUUAAAUUUCGUUUAAUGGCAGCAGUUCCAACAACUAAGUACGCAGGAUUUAGCUGAACCCGAGGAUACGGAUUUAUCGACGGGGUUUUAUCAAAAAUAGCCUUAUAGAUACGCAGAACUUCUUUACGGUCAGUUGCAGUACGCAUUCUUUGAAUGUACAGAACAUUGAGAAAGCUUUCAACUUCUAAGUCAUGUAUCGCCUCUGAAACGACACGAGAACUCAAUUUAGUCCAAGCAACUGUCACCUGGAAAAAAUGUAUUAUGAAAAAUUUAAAUGACUCUAGCUACUACCUUGCAUAAACUGGCAUGAUCUUAUCACAUCCCGUAGAUUGAAUUCCCAUGGUGAGCCAUCGUGACCAAACUUUCGAUAUAACAUAGUACCAUCGUGUAACUGUCUGUUGAGAGCAAUAAGCUUUGAAAGCAAUGGACUAGGAACAGAUGGGUAAAGUGAGCGACAGAUGAAGAGGUAAUCAUCUUCCACUAACUCGUCCACAUAAACCUGAAAACAUUUGAGGCGGAGCAGAUGAAAUUUUCAUUUGGAAUUAUAAUAAAAAUUUGACAUGUCAUGAGCAUCCAGGACCAGAAAACGAAUAGUAGAACAUACUUUCGUGAAUCGGUUAAGGAAAGACUUGGGAAGACCUUUCCUGCCACCACCUUGAGUGGAAGGAUUCUGACAUGCAAAAACUCUAAAUGUUGGAGGGCAUUCAAAGGUACAGCCCAGUUCUGGGAUGAAGACUUGAGCACGAUGAUCCAAAAUCGCAUUCAAACCCUGGAAAGAUAUAUAAAUAUAUUUUAAUAAAUCUCACCAGAAUAAUAUAUGUGGAAAGGCAACAGAAUUCAACAUAUUCUAGCGCAAGAAAAUUUCUACUGAAAUAAAAUUAGUGGUUUGUCGGCUCACCUCUAGAACAGAUUGUGGGGCAAGGUUCAGUUCAUCUAACAAAACCCACGAGCCUUCUUUUAGAGCCUGUAGAAAUUGCAUAAUUGAGGAUCUGCAAUUUUUAAAUUGAUACAUACUUUUAGAUAAAACAAUCUUUAACCUGCAAGAGAAUUCCAUCAGACCAAGCAAACUUCAUGUCCUCAUCACUUUCAACUGGUAAAUCUGAUCCCAGCAAAUCCAUCAUGUCAGUCUGCAUCAACAAAACCAUAGUUAUAGUACCCAACAGAUUAAGUAGCAUACACAGUAUUGAAGGCCUGGUGACGAAAUCGAACCUGCUCCGAUAGAUUUAUGCGCACAACCUUGUGGCCAGAAUAUUUUCCCAACGCCAAUAUCAGACUAGUUUUUCCAACACCAGGGCUACCUUCUAAUAAAACUGCAAUGGUAAAAUAGACCAAUAUUAAAGCUGACAUCAAUCUCCAAAAACUACCAUGAUAACCAAAAGUAAUGAGACAUACUUGGUUUUGAAAGCUGCAUUGCACGCAAUACUCUCAAGACAUUCCUGUGGGUAGUUGGUGCUAAAAACUCGAAUCCACCAAUCUCAGGAUUUUCAUCACCUGAACAGGCAGGUUGUAAGUUCCAAACAAAAUCUCAUAAAUGCUAUAAUCAUAGUUGCUAUACUUUGACAAUAUUAAACAUAUCCUCUGCAGAAAGAACACGAGCAGCUCACCUUUGCUUAUAAAAAAUGGAUCGAUGCCAAACAUGCCCUCAUGUCGAACACUCUUACUUUUUUCACAAAUUGCUUUGGAAUCACCCCAGCCAUACAGCUCCAUUCUUGAAAGCUCCAAAGGUAGUGUAUCGCUAGCAAAAAGCUGAACCAGAAAAGUCAGAUACUCAGAUGGAUGCGACAUGAUGAGACAUUCGUAGUCGAACAACGAGCAUCACUAUGUGUUGAGGACUAAAGACGAUAUAAGUCACACAGUUAAGAAUUUAAAGAUGCUACGAAAACGUUUUUGUUCUAUAGCAAACCGAACUGAUUUACUGGAAUAACAUUCAACAUAUGCCACUAGAGAAAACUUGGCGAGUUUGUGUUGCCAGAAAACAACAAAAAUAAAGAGAUAUAUUGUAUCAUCAAGAUUGAAAUUACCUCAAGUUGUUGUAACAGGAAAGCGAAGCAUUUUUCUCUCAGAUCUUGACCAUCCCUUCCAGAGAAACCAGUUCCUUGCAAAACAUAAAAAAAAAAGAGGUUAAUCAAUCAUACACGCUGGGUAAAGAUAUAUGAAAGCAAUACCACUCAAACUCAGCUAAUGAAGAUGAAAUACCAAUAAAGUUGGAUAUCCUAAACUCAGUAAAUCCAACGACAGAAACUACAUAACACAAGUUGUAGAUUCAGCUAGUGAAGAUGGAAUACCAUUAUAUUCGAAUACCCAAUUCAACAAAUUACAUGAAACGAUAUUUGCAUGAAUUUAUAUAACAAACGAUCAAGGUAGACCUAUUCAAACUUUUAGAUGUUUGAUAUAUUCCAGUGUACUUAUAUCAUUACGUCAAAGACAGACCAGUCAAAAAAUGUAAGACUGUAGAUGACAAAGGCAUUUAUAAAAGCAAUCAAUCUAAGAAGCAGCUAGAGAACCUAACGAAUAUGUUUUACUGGACCACCAGGCAAAGAGCAUCUUUUCAUAGGGAUGUGAGGGAAUCACUAGAGCAUAAGCUACAGUGAAACACCCGGCCACAGAUAUACACGACUAAUUUUAUUACCAUGUUUUUGGACAUCGAGAAGUUCAAAAAACCACAUUGUUCAUACCAGAAUGCAAUCAAAUAAACAGAAAGCUCCCCAGUGCAGAUAAAAAAUGGUUACAGAAGGGAAGAAUAAGAGUUGAAUAAGUGAGUAUAGCAAUAACACUUCAAACCUAGACAGAAAGAUUAGAAUUACGGAAAAACAUACCGAGACUUAAACCGUCAAGUAACACGAGAAAUGCUCCAUGAAGAAUAGCAUAUGCUGGUCCUAAACUCUCAGUUGCCAUGUUGACAAAUGCAACCCAGGAGAGGAGAUCUCUGACAGUAAGCGUUCUCCCAGUAUGCAACCUGUUGAACCACUGCAGCAAAGAAACUACAUUGAAUCUACUGAUGCAAAAAACAUAUAAUACUGUACAAUUAUAAAGUAUCAUGUAUCAUUGGGUUGGCUGAUUUUAUAGUUAUGAUUAUAACUAUAAAGCUCAGAACAGUUUGUGCCUGACGAGAGAGCAUGGAAAAGAGAGAGAUGGUAUGGAGCCAAGUUUUAAAAGGUUACACUAAAAAGUAAAGCAAGCAAAUCGUUUUCCAACAGCACAAAACCUUGAUCUGUGUGGUCGUGUUCAUGUUGGUAAAUGGAGACACUACAAAACACUAAGGGCAUAUUCAAGCUUCUAUAUUAUAAACUUCAAAGCAUGUAUUACUUUCAGAGUUACAGAAAUUGAAAGGAAAUAAAAAUAAGAGUAAUAGGAAAGGGAAACUACCUCCCAGAAGUUGAUGAUGGGAUCUACAACAUUAGAUUCCUUCAAACUGGACAGGCUACAAAACAAGAAUAUUAUGAAUUAGCAACAAGAAAACUAUUGACAAGUAUCCUUCUGAGCAUUUCAGGGAGACCACAUACCCAGAAAAGGCAAUACUUCUGAGCUCCUCAGUAUCUGUAAUAGGAGGGACCCAUAUCUCAGUAAAACGAUUACGAAGCGCAGGUGACAAUUCCUUCUUUCCAUAAUCACCACCCGGGUUCAUGGUGGCUAGAACAAAAAAGUCUUCAUGAGCUACAACUUCCUCCAAGACGGGACCACCUUUCUCAGCUAAGGACUACAAAGAUAAAGUGGAAACAAUAACAUACGAGAGGACAAUUAAACAGAAAUAAAAACUCUACGAAGAAAAUGGAAACCAACAUGGAGAAAUGAUGAAAAUGAUAAGGAAUGGCUAAAUGAUGAACAUGAAGGCAGGGUAGCUUUACUCACCAAUUUCCUGUCUGUCUCCAACACACUAUUCAUUCUUUCUAAUACACUGUCAUCAGCCAAAGAUAUCUCAUCCACAAGAACGAUAUUUCCAGCUCUCAUAGCUUCCACAAGGGGCCCAUCUUGCCAAACAAAUAUUGCACGCCAUUUUUGAUACAGCAUCACCAUAUUGUUCCUUAUUUUCUCAAGAAAAUCAACAUCCUGUGGCGUGGCGGCCACUCCUAUAACUGAACCAUUUUUGUACUUCUCCAAAGCUACCUCUACUGAUUUGAUCGACACUUCAGCUCUACUAAUAUCUCCACAAAUAACCUGCACAUGACAUGUUCAAGGAAAUAUAGCAUCCACAUUGAACGAAAGACGGGUGAAAUACCAACAUCAAUGGGGUAUUGGAUACUAACAAUAUCUUGGCCAAAAGGCGUCAAUGCCUGAGAGAGCUCCAACUGUUUGACUUGAUUCUCGUAUUCUGUGAUCAAUUUUGAUCUGUCUCUCACAGGAAAGAAUCCCUAAAAAAGAGGCGGACAUUAGAAAUUGUAAGAUGAAAGAAGUAACAGUUUAGCAUUGGAGUUCGGAAUAUGUAAGAUGAAAGAAGAUAAGCCUACACCAAGGAAAUCAGAUGUUUCGGUGUAUUGAUGACAGUUAAGGAUGUGCAAUCUUUUCUUCUUAACAUCGCUUAGUAUUUGGCAGAUUGUUGUUUUGCCUCCUCCAGUGUCACCAACAAGAAGAACAGGCUCACGCAGUUUAUAAGAACGGUCGAUGAGAAAAAAUAGUCUCCGCAUACUUUGAGUCCAGGUGAAUUUUCUGUUUUGUCUAUAUAGAAAUUGAAAAUAGCACCAUAAAAUUUAGCCAAGACUGUUCAAGAUAAAACAAACAAGCUCGAAGAAAAUAAUUCAAUAAAAGAGAAUUAGAAGAGGAAAGGCAUUUACAUGGAAUCCAACCUUGGAAGCUCCUGGGGUAAGAAAACAAAAGCAAAAAAAAGAACAGAAAACCAUUAUUUAUAUCAGAAUAGUGUAAGAAACAGCACCUUUGUAAUGAUGCAGUAAUAGUUAAACUUAAUAAUAAUGCAGUAAGACCAACAGUGAAAAACAACAGAGCAACAACAAGCAAUUUUCAUGGAACAGGCAGUUCACUGUAUGACACACAACUCCGUCAAAUGGAUAUAUUAAGUUAAAAGACCUACAAUAUAAACAAAUUUCAGGAAACCUAAAAUGAACUAGUUCCAAUAAGAAAAGACAUAUUACAUCAAUUAUCUGAAACUAGAUAACAUAACUUACCAUAUUGUACAAAUCAUCUUUGGCAAGACUGACACGGAAAUGUCUCUCCAGCACCUCUUGAACAACUACCUUCUCAGUGUCAUCACGCAGCCUUUCUGCAAGGAUGUAAUACCCUUCUCUGGCGAGUUCUUCAUGAGAUGUACCGUCAUAAGUCCUGAAACGAUAGGCCCACCGGAAUAAAUCUCUUGGAGUUAUAUAACCAUGUUUUCCAGCAAAAGCUUUGCUACUCUGCCUAUUGCGUUGCAGGUCUUUCAUCACUUCAACCAUUUUUGAAGCAUGACUGUUAGCAAUACUACACUUCGUAGUAAGAAUUUCACUCAGUUCAUCUUCUGGAAUUUCAUCAACAUGAAUCUCCACAAACCGAUUGCGAAAAGCUCGAGACAGUAUUUUGCGUCCACCAUAUAAAGUAGGAGGGUUCUGUGUAGCGAAGAGCAUAAAAUUAGGAUGCGCUGAGAUUGUUUCACUCAGCUCAGGCACAAAAAGCUCCCUAUUGUCAUCAAGCAGCCUGUUUAGUGCCUCUAAGACAUCAGAUGGAGCCAAAUUAAGUUCAUCUAAGACAAUCCAAUGCCCACCCCUGACAGCCUUCACCAACGCUCCUUCGUGAAAUACAAGCUUCCCUGAAGAAUCAGUCAUAUAGGAACCUAAAUACUCUUGGAUAUCAGUCUGCUCAUGAUUAUUGAUUCUUACAAAUUUGUUUCCACUUAUUGCUGCAAGAUAUUUGACAAGGCUUGUUUUUCCACUGGAUGUUGGUCCUUGUAAGAGCACAGGAUAUCUUUUAAUAAAAAUGGCAUGCGCCAAAUGAUUAAGAUGAUCAAUUACACUCUUCGUCUUAACAUAACUGCCAACAAAUUUAUCAGAACUGCCUUUUAAUUCUCCCAAGUAUCUUUGAAGUGGUUGGCUUCGGAUAUUUUCCCCGGAGAUACGCUUUAUUAUCGGUUCCACGAUCUUAGCACUGGAAGCAUCCAAUAAGGAGAGGAAAAACAUGGAAAAUCCAUCAUAUAAUGCUUUCUGAAAACCACCAAUAGCUUCUGCUUUUAUCGCAUAUUCUAGCGCACGGUAUAGAGACCUUAAGCUGUACUGUGGCUUCUGAUUAGCACCAUCCUGCAAGCUUUCUUCAGAUAACCUUUUAGCUUCUUUGUAAAACCAAACAAUGUUGGCUACUAACUUACUGUCAGAUCCACGUCCACCUAAAAAUCGUCUCACGAAUAUCUCCAGGUCAUCAUCACAUAUGUCAUCAUCCACAGCAUACUCUGUAAAUCUGCUUCGGAAUGAGAAUGGCAAGUCUCGCUUACCAGCAUCUGUGGCUGGAUUCAUACAAGCAAACAAACGGAAAUUCAAAUGUCUGGGAAUGCCCAUUACAUCCCCUCUCUCAGCUAAACAAAGUGAUCCUCUCACUCCUUCAAGAACACCAAUCAGCCUGCCCAAUAUCUCUGGUGGGGCUAAGUUCACUUCAUCUAGUAAAACCCAAUGCCCCUCCCUGAGGGCAGUCACAAACGCACCUUCAACAAAGGUAAAAACCAUUCCACCUGAAUGGAUCUGUUGUCGUAUCUUAUUCACUUUCGUCCUCAGACACGCACAGUUUUUGAGCUCUUCUUCUGGUUUCUUCCUCUUUCUACCAGAUCUAGACCUUGCUUCCCCAAUUUUACCUUCCAUGCGUUCAGUAAUUCUACCUUCAAUGCCUUUAAUAAUGUCCAAUAACCCAGUCAAAAAUGUAUGCCACUUCUUGGCUCUAAAAUUAUCUUGCAGCCAUUUCAUAAUUUUUGAAUCAUCCUGGGUACCAAAAAUGAAGAGGACUCAUUACUCAAGCAACAUGCUAAAUUCAUUCCAUAACAUAUCUCGUUAGGAAUGAGUGUAGGAAGAAAUUCAUGAGUGACUAAGUUUUAAAUGUAAAGCUACCUUAAUCUUCAAAUCUCUUGCCAAUUCAUUGAAUUCAUUGUACACCAUUGUGCACAUAAGCUUUGGAUCAAUAGGCUUAAAACCACCCAAUAGAUCAACUAUAUCACUUUGCUGGCUCAAAUUCUGCAGAAAAGUAAACUAGAAAUUAUAGAAAACCACUACGAUAACUACGUGACUACAAGAAUGUAAGUCAAAACAUACCAAAACAGUGAGUUUCUGUCCGAUCCAGUGUGCAAGAUUUUGAACUAGUGUCGUUUUCCCAGUCCCUGUUUCUCCUACUAAGAGAACUGGCUCAUUGUACUCGACAGAGCGAGCUAUUUUCUCAAGUAACCGUGUAGAUGUGCGUGUUUCAACAAACCUAGACCGAUCAUGUGACUGAGAUAAAAAAAAAGCAGAUCAACAAGAGGCUUCAAUAGAUGAAUAAUUGUAUAAGAAAGAAGGGCGUGCUUAUAAACUAACCGCAGUUUCACCAAGUGGAAGAGAAACUCUACCAAUUUUUAGAAUCCCGGAAAAUUCCUGCAGUUCAAUGAAUAUUUAGAAAAAAAAAUCUCAAAGCAGCAAGCUAAAACACUGUCAAGGAUACUUAGGUACCUGAAUUGGGGGCUUAUCCUGAGAUUCUGGAACAGCGACAUUCCAAAUACUAGCCACAAUCUCACUUACUGCCACUCGGUUUUUAACUGACAUAUUAGACGCAGAGAAUAUAUCUGCUGCCUGAGGAUAUAGCACAAAACGCCAAAUUAAUUACAGAAUAUUAGAAUAAGACUCUAAUCCAAGUUAACUUUAACGAAACAGACCUCCUGAUAAACUGCAUGGCCAUCAUAGGAGGGCAGGCCAUGAACUCGUUCACACCACUUGAGCAGAUCUCUGGAAAUGAUGACAAUUCAGAAAGAAUAGAAUGAAAAAUCCAUUAAUAACAACAACUCACAGUCAUAGAAAUAUAUAUGCCUACCUCAGUGAAAAUCUACUUGGAGAACUGAAAGUAGCUGAGUUUUCAGUUGUUGAACUAGAAAAUUGGGGACGAAGAGCAGAGUUGAUGGUUUCAAAUGUUUCUGCAAAGAUGGAAUAGUUUCACUGUUAGUACAGAUUCCAUGUAAAGGGGUGUAUGUGCAAGAGGAACCUACCAAUAAGCUUCUCUGCAACAGGACCUAGGUUAGGAUACCUAGCACCCAGGAUACUUUGCAAGCUCUCACGAUCUGGUGGAUAUACAACAAUUCUCCUCCAUAGAGGACUCAACGAAUUUCCAGCUACAUCCAAGAAAACCAGACAUAAAAAUAAUAAGGUGUUUUGAACUGAACCUUAUUUGCAGCAAGUAAAAGAUGGGUUUUCUUCAGCUCGAUAAUACAGAUAGUUAUAAGACCACAUAAGAGCUUUAGUGUAGUAAACAUCAAUAAAAUUGGAUAUUUAAUCUACCAUGCACUUUGAGCUAGGUUGGUUAUUUGCAAAACGGCCAAGCUGAAUAAUUAUUAUAACAGUCGUUUAUUGAGCCUCUGAUCCUACUAGCAUUUGGUUUUACGCUUCAAGUAAUAAACUCCCUAAAGUUGCAGGUUUCAAGCUUAUACAACUACAAUAUCCUUCAACCUAAUAAGUGUCUGCAAGACAUACCGUCUCUGAUGUGUGACACACUGCAUUCAGGUGUCGAUAUAGUUGAAAACAGUUGGAAAGUUUCUGCUAUCCGUAUCUCCUGCAAGCAGAUUAAAAGUUAAGAAGCUCUGAAAAUUGAAUCAAUCUCUCAAGGAAAUGAUACGAGUACCUAACACAGAGUUAUUCAAAAGUUGUGGCCCUAGAAUAUAUUUAGGUAUAUGAUAAGUAACAGAGCAGCAAAAAGAGAGUGUAUACCUCUCCUUGACUGGUCAAGAAUGAGCAAGACCCUCCCAGCAAAGAUGACAAGACGAGGGGAACAUCUGAUGGAGCUUUGUCUAUGUCCUCAAGAACCACCCAGAACCCAUUCAUAAUCGCCUGCCAAGACAGAAAAAAAAAAACAAAAAAAAUAUUGAUGCAAUCGUAGGAGGACGGAUAGAUACAAAAAAUAGGCUGCCAUAAUUCCACAAACCUGGGUAAGUGAGCCAGGCUGCCAUCUGAAUUCGCCAGGUUGAUCAGUACACACAUAAGUGCCAACCAAUGUUUUCCCAUCAAGUUGAUCAUCCAUGUGGAUAAAUACAACUAUCAAAAUUAUAAGAGAGGCAUGAAGAAAAACAAAAUAUAAUGAGACAUAACAUGGUUUAAGGCCUUCAUUUUAACAGUCGAAAUACUCAAAUGUAUUUACUAUGCAUAGCAACAUCUCAAGAUAGUUAUUUUUCCCUUCCAAAAAACUAGAAAUUUCUCUGAACUUUAGCCAACUAAAAAAUUAUUUGAGAGCAAUAUACGUAGAUAUUAAAAUUAUAACAUACCAUGGUUACCACUUUCAUCAGCCAACUUCCUAAUGAGGGCAGACUUUCCAGACCCCGAGGGACCAUACAGAAGAACAGGUCGCUUUUGACUAACAGCCAAUGAGACCAUUUCAAAAGAUUUCUUCACCCUAGAGUGGAUUUCAAAUGGUUCAGAGAAAGAAUUGACAUCCCUGAAUUGAAGAGGAAGGUGGAAUUCAACCCAAAUAAGAGAACAAUCACAUUAAGUACAACGGGGAUAAAUGGUGAAAAUGAUGGGAAGGAACACAAAGAUAACCAACCAGGUGUCCAGCCUCCGAAUCUUCAUCUGUGGCUCAUCUGCUUCUAACCCUGCUGAUUGUCGCUUGUUAAUUCCAGGUACAAGGGUAUUAAAUUGUUGCAAAGACUUCAACGCUGUGUAUGUAGGCAAUUGAAUGUAUAAUCCAGCCUUCUCUAUUUCUAUAUCCUGACAAAAUUCCUCCCAGCUGAAUGUAUCAAAAAAAUUAAACCCUUAGAAACAAAACUUCAGACGAAAGUGAAUUAGAAGUCUUGAGUAUAGCUAAAAGUGGAUUACCGUAGCAAGCACGAAAGUGCUUCUUCCUCUUCAAAACCAAAACAUCCUGCUAAUCUGUCACUGCAUCUCAAAACAACAGAAAGAAUUUGAAUCCCACACCACACAGCAUCUCGAUACUUUUCCAAGAAAUGCCUUUGUUGUCUAGGACAUUCUGAGAGCCUUUUCAUGGAGUCCAAGUAACAAGACCAAUCCCACAACUUAGAGAAAACUUCAGGUCUAAUGACAAGAAAACGAUAUGAUACUCGAAGACAAAGCAAGUACGCAUCUGUAGCCUGAUUCAGGGGGAAAAAAUAAUCAAUGUAACUGGCCAAAGACUAUGAAGUGGAUAGGAAUAAUAACAUAUGAUGCUCUGACACCAAUAAACGUCAAAGAUAACAAGCAUACCUCCAUGCGCGACUCAGAAACUAUAUCUUUCACAAGAAUUCGCUCGUAUGGUGGUGGAGCUUUCUCAAAAUAAUUUAGAAUAGACCUACAAAAUUAAGAAAGCUUCCGUUGGGAGACUAUUCAAGCUGUUUCAAUUAAACCAAUUUAACUUCUGAUCUCAUCAUGCAUAUUCUUUCUAGCUUCGGUAACAAAGUAAAUAGUCAUCUUACCCUAACAAAGACGUAUUGAAAUGAAGCGCACGACUGAAGGCCAAGCAAGCACACUCAUGAAGCUCCAACCUUUGUCCACGCCGGACAUAAAAAUCAAUCACACUAAUACCUUCCGUCAUAGCAUUAUCCAAAACUGAUGACACAUCGUCUGAGUAGUCAAUACUUGACUUAAGAUCAUCCACUAGACGAAGAAGACCCACCACUCUAUCUACAACAUUUCUUAUUAUUGGAAGGAAGCAAUGAACCAACGGAACUGUAAACUCCGGGUGAAGAAACGCAUCCCCUAAAGCAUGAAUCACCUCUUCGUUAUCCACAACUUCUCCUCCCUAAACAAAACCCAGUAGCCAUAAAGACAAAAAAUUGUUCAAAACAAAGUCAAGCCCAUAAUUCUGGGUCAAAUUUGAAGUAACAAGUACAAAACUUUACCUUGCUGAGAAUCGAAGUGAAACAUGGAAAAGCUGCGACCUUUGGACAACGUACAGAGAACGUCUCCAAGGCAAGUUUAAGGUUGAAACUCCCAUCAAUAGCCAUUGAAACCUGUUGACAAACAAAAAAAAACAAAAACAGAGAGAUACAGAGCACGAAAUUAGGGUUUAGGGUUUAACGCCGAAGGGGAAGAUUUAGGUUUAUUAGUCUCUUUUCGUCAAAUCCUCCAUUGACGGUGAAACUUGAAAUCGACACGAGUUGGGAUAUGCAGGCCCGGCCCAAAUAGCGUGGGCAGAGGGAAACAUUUAGAUAAAAAAUAAAAGGCCCAUUAUGUUUUUGAAAAAGUGUAAAUUGACCCAAACUUUUUAAAUAAAAUAUUUAAAGGGCCUUUGUAUUUUCAGUUUUUUCAAAAUAUUUUUUUCUUCUUUUACAGAAAAAGAGGCUUUAUAUUUUAAAAAGUUCGGUUUCCUUCUCUCUUCUCUCUCUUUCAUCUUUCAGAGAGAAAGAAGUUUUUUCGUUCAGGAUUUGCCGGCGGUUAUUCUCCACUGAUGUUGGUUCCGCUUGAGGCACAAUUCUCGUCUUUCUGCAUCAGCUUUCUCAGUGGUGUAGGUUGGCUUUGCUUCCGGCGUAGAUGGCUUUCAUAGCAUCUUCGUCCGGCUUUGUUUCUGGCAUCGGUGGUUUUGUCAACACCGGUGGUUGGCUCUGUUUCUAGCGAUCUCGUCGCUUAUCUCUCUAGCGAGUAUUGGCUAGCUUUUGCUCUAGCUUUUGUUUUUUUUCUUUAGACUCUUUCGAUUUCCAAUUAGUUUUGGUUUUCUUUGGCUCUCGCUAGUUUUUUCUCUUUCUAUUGAUCUAAGUUUCUAAUUCUUCAAUCCUUCUUUGUUUAAAGGGCUUGAUUCGUUCUUCAUGCUUUCUAGGUUUUAAAAUUUUAAGAACGAAGUUGUAUUGUUGGAUUGAUGUUUCUCUUAGUUAAUAGUUCAUGUUGAAGUAAUUGGGAGCUGAAUUAAAGAUCGAUACUUUGGAUUCGAUUGAAUUUUCGUUUUUAGGUUUGAUGACCUGCAAUUGAAGAUUGAAAGCUUGUCGAUUGAAGAAGAAGAAGAAGAAGAUUCAAAGAGUCAUAUUCUCAUCAAAGCUAAAAUUGGAAUCUCGCCAUGAUUUCUUUGGGCGAAGUUUGAGACUUGUCGAUAGAUCAAGUUCUCUGGUGAUUUUGGUCGGAUUGAAGAUUCCCGACGACACACAAUUCUGCCAGUGAACGGAAACUCCUAUCUCUUCCACUUCCCACGUGUCUAGAAGUCUGGUUACCAUUGGAUACGUGUUUCAUGUGCUGUCUACAACAAGCUUUCCUUCAAUUUAGGGUUUUUAGUUGGGCUUUUCUUUUAAUUUAGUGUUAUGACCUGUUAAUUUUGGCUCUGUAUUAUUUGGCCUUAUAUAAAUAAAUAAAACACAGUUGUUACACAAAAAAAAAAAAAAUUUAAAAAGUUCAAAAAAAAUAAGGUCAAAACUAUAUUUAUAAAAUAGUCCAGAUUUUAACUUUAAAAAAAAAAUUAUAAAACAAAAUUGAUGUACAAAAAGGUCCAAAAAAUGAUGAAGCAUGUGUGUGAAGAAAGAAUAAAAUGAUGAAGUAGGUUGGAGAUGGGAUACUAAGUCAUAGCACAAAUAAAUAAUUUUAUUGUAAUUUUGUUGUUAUUAAAAUUAUGUUUUACAUAUGAGAGGGUUGUAUUUUUCUUAAGAAAUAUUUGUUAUGUCGUGUUUGAAUUUGGCUUGUGACACAACGACACAAAUUAACUACUAGAUUACAAGUUGUAAUGGCGAGAAACUUUUUAUAUUUUCAGGGGAAGUCAAAUUAUUUGAAGUGUUGUAGAAUAUAUAUUGUCAAUUGGUAAUGGUCCAAAACAGCUGACCAUUUUGGAUAGUUAAAAUAGAUAAUUUUUUGUUGUGUAUUUGUAUAAAGGUAAAACUUACAAUUAAAAUUAAAAAUGCCCGCUUUUUAUAUAUACUUUUUUGUAGUGAAAAGGUUAAAAAGAUUAAAUUAUUUUGGAUAAACAGAUUUAAAAAGUUACCAAAAUUUUGUAAGAACUUUUUUAUGAUUAAAAGUCUACUUCUUAUACAUGACAUUUGUAUUGAUUGUACAACACUUGAUUGUAAAAAAAAAAAAUGUUGUUUGGAAAAAUUAAGAAUCCAGAGGUAGUGUUGUUGCCCAAGUGAGGACAUAGUACAAUAGUAGUAUUCAAAAUGCUAACAUGCUAAUUUUAAAAAAAUCUAAGAAAUCAACACUCAAAUCACUUAGUCUCAUGCUUGUAAACACAAAACCAAAUACAUCAAAUCUCAUGCUCAUUACAUUUCAUACAUCAUCUUAGUCCUGUGCUCUUAAUAGUUUGAUGUUUUAUAGAAAGAAGUUUAUUGUAAAUUCUAAUUAUCAAUUAAUUCAAGACUGUUUUAAGAGUGAAAAGAAAAAACUAAAAUCAUUACUUAUCAUGACAUGUGGCUAGGGAUGUCAAAAUGGGUCAAAAUUCAUGGGUCAACUCAACUCAACUCAACCCAUGAACCCUAAUGAGUUGAAAAUUUUGACUCAAAUGAGUUGAUGAGCCAAAUGAGUUGAUGAGUCAAUUGGUUUGAUGAGUAAAAUGAGUUGGGUUGUAAUGGUUAAUGGUUUCAAUGGUUUACCCAAUUAACCCAUCAAGUUUUGUAAAAUUGAAUUAAACCAACUAAAAUCUCUAAACCAAUGUCAAUUUAAGUUUAACCAACAUAUUUAAACCAAUUUAAUAAAAUUAAUAUUUUUCCAAAUUUCUUAAAUAUACAAGCGAUGAAAUUGAUAAAAAGUAAACUCGUAAUUUUUCCACUAAAAAAGAUAAACCCGUGAUUUUCCCGCCAAAAACGUAAAUCCAUAAUUUUCCCGCCAAAAACGUAAACUCGUAAUUUUCCCGCCAAAAACGCAAAUCCGUAAUUUUCCCGCCAAAAACGUAAACUUGAAAUUUCCCGCCAAAAACGUAAACCCGUGAUUUUCCCGCCAAAAACGUAAAUCCGUGAUUUUCUCGCCAAAAACGUAAACUCAUAAUUUUCCCGCCAAAAACGUAAAUCCGUAAUUUUCCCGCCAAAAACGUAAACUCGUAAUUUUUCCGCCAAAAACGUUAACCCGUGAUUUUCCCGCCAAAAACGUAAACUCGUAAUUUUCCCGCUAAAAAUGUAAAUCCAUGAUUUUUCCGCCAAAAACGUAAACCCGAGAUUUUCCUGUCAAAAAUGUAAACCCGUAAUUUUCCCACCAAAAACGUAAACCCGUAAUUUUCCUGCCAAAAACGUAAACCUAUAAUUUUCUCGCCAAAAACAUAAACCUGUGAUUUUUCCGCCAAAAACGUAAACCCGUAAAAAGUGGAAUCCGUAAAUAUUCUAAGUUUGAUAAUGAUGAAUUAAUAAUAUUAAUUAUUUAUUAUUGUUUUAUAAUAAUAAUUAAUUAAAUUAUUACUUAAAUGGGUUAACCUAUUUAACAACUCAACCCAUCAAAUUAAAUGAGUUAUGGGUUGACCCAACUCAUUUAACAAAAUGAGUUGGGUCAACCCAUAACUCAUUUAACUCUAAACUCAUUUGAUUAUGAGUUGAGUUGGGUUACCCAUUUUGACAUCCCUACAUGUGGCAAAAAGAAUAAAGUGUUAAAAUUGUUUCAGUCUUUAAUUUAGAUUAUUUUCAUCUUUUCACUAAUUUUUAUUGUUUCCUCUACAAUAACAAUAGAAAAAUAAAACUACUCAUAUACAUGAAUUGGAUUGUCUUUCCAGAUCAGAUUAGCAACCAACAUAUUAACACGUCCUCACACUAGGUUAGCUAAUAAUUCGUAUUUUGUUCUUUACAGCCUCACAGGUAGAGCAUAGUUGCAGAGGACCAACUGAAGCAAUCAGGUUUAGACACCUGAGAAUUCUUCAUCACUAAAAGACACAGAGCACUAAAUUUGUUAGUUGUACGCCGAUCUUGUUGCGGGCGAGAAACAGUCGUCACUUGCUGAUUUUUUCUAGAUGAUAUCAGUGUCGUCCUAACAUGAUCAUCAUAUUUAGAUGAUAUUGAUAUGCUUGUGGGUUUACGCUUCUGUUCUGGUAGGUUUAUAGAUGUCUUCGUAUUAUCAAACUGAUGAAGAUCCUUCACAUGUUCUACAAAGACGUAGACUCUCUGAUAAUUGCUAAACCAUUCAGAGUCUUCUCCAACACCUUGAAUUUCAACACUUAAGAGAGUGUUAUUUUCGGGAUUAUAGUAGAAAACAUAAAACGGUUUACAUGCAUACAUCUUCGCCAAAACAAUUUCACCUCUAGUAGUAACCCCAACAAAGGAAAGAUUAUAAUUAACCUUAACAACAUUAUUAUCAGGCUUCAAAGUGUAGGCAUACUUCGACCAUUCCUCUUUCUCGAGAUCCUCUAAAACCCACAUAGAUAACUCAAGAGGAAAUCCACCUAAUUUGUCCUUAUAGUUUAUCAAUUCAAAAAAACAUUUUACCAUAUCAUGAUUUACAUGGAAAAACUUGAAUUUCUCAAACCUAACAUCAAAACAACCUAUCACAUCAUUCGAGCUGUCCUGUGUAUCGUAAGCUAUGUAAUACAAAACUCCAUUAAUGCAUAUCGGGCUUUGCCCACAAGGACGAUACCUUAAGGAACUUUGGAUACUCCUCCACUUAUCAUUUUCUGUUCCUAAUGUCAGAAUAUAAUGAUUGUCUAGAAUGUUAAGAACCAAAACCUUGAAUUGCUUGCCAAUCGGGUCAAACCCUAAAUCGCCAAAGAUUCCUGACGGUUGAGGUGGUAAGAUCGCAUAUACUGUCCUGUGCUAGGUUUACAUAUCACACACACUUCAUAGUUACCCUCUUUUGACAUCCACACAGUACGUAAAUAUAUCAAACCAAAAGCAUAGCUAGUCCCGUGAUGUUGAUGUUGUUUUAUUUCAGAAAGCUUCAUAUGAAAAUCAGCGGCUACUUCAAGAGAUGACUUCUCAUAUGGAUUCUUAGGCUGAGGCGACGAGUAGAAGCUCCACUCACCGCCUCGAACGAUCCCGAGUAAGAGACGUGGAUUAGAUGAGGACCUGUUAACGAACAACCUGGUGAAAUCUUGACUGGCAAGCAUGGACGACCAUAGCUUCGAAACGCAGUGAAAUCUCGCGAUGGACUUUGUAGGCAGUCUCGAGAGUAUAUCAAGAAUCAGAUCAGUUGGGAUGGAAUCUAAGGUUUCUCCUCUAUUCAUGAUCGUUGUAUUAGUUUGCUUGCGGAAGAAAGAGAGAGAGAUAUGAAUACAAAUCUGUUAAAAUUUGACCUAAUUAGAUUAUGUUAAAUUGUUAAUCAAUCUCAUUUAUGGUCGGCACUGACCAAGGCCCAAGAAGCCAUGAGUGUUAAGUUUUAACCAUCCUUUUUUUGGCAGCGGGCCUUAAUUAACCAUUUAACUUCAUCAGAACUUUUAACAGUGUGAUUAGCACUUGCGCGGAGAUUCGGAGAGCUUUUUUACAAGAAAGCACAGUAGAAAAAUCAAACAAUGUAUAAAACCAAUUUCAACUUUUAUCCCCAAACCAGUAAUCACAGCAAUUGAAGUGACGCAUAAAGACAACACAAAUGAAUCAUAAAUGUUUUACAGUAAAAUUUAUAUAUAAUCCACGUCGCUCUUAUUUUCAGCAAUUGUCUCUUCCGUUACAAUAACAUCAGCUCCAACAUGUUCCUUGCUAGAUUCAUCCUCGGGUGACUUUUGAAUCUGUUGCGGUUCAAGAUCAUCUAAGGCUGGUGACUCUACCUCAGUUGAAGCAAGUUUGAUAUCAGUUCCAAUGUUUUCAGAUUCCAAAUUCUUGCUUUCAACUGAUUGUUCGUUUAUUUCAACAGGAUGGUCACCAGAUGAGGUUUUGUCAUUCUGGCUUGUAAGCGCGUCUUCUAUGAGACAUGGCUUUACUGUUUCCUCUUCAACCUCUUUGCUUUUGUCAACCGAGUCUUCUCUUGUGGUGAAACAUGGCUCUACUGUCUCCUCUUCAACAACCUCUUUGCUUUUAUCAUUCGAGUCUUCUCUUGUGAUGUCUGUGGCAUGGUCAGAUGCAAGAUGUUGAUCAUCAGUUUCUUCUGCAUUUGAUUCAUCAUCCUGUAUAGAAGACCUCCCAGGAAGAUCCGGCUCCUCUUCAGCAACACUUUCUGUCUUAGACUCUGACCCUUCAAGAUUUGUGGAAGCAGGGAAAGACUGGAAAGUGUCCCAAUCAUCAUCAUCAUCAUCUUCUUCUUCUUCUUCUUCUUCGUCAGUUCCACUUUCUACUGUGCUAACCUGAUUGAAAGAUGUUGGCAUAGUAGACAACGCUUCUUCUUUAACCAUAUUAGCAGUAGAGGUAACUUUUUCAGGCGUUGCUACCACAGGUGCUGGUAGUUUGAUAUCCAUGGCUGGAACCAAGGAUUUUGGCUUCGCAAGGGCACUAUCUUUAGAGACAGAAGCACGAAUAAUAUCCUAACAUCAGAAGAACAAGGACACCAAUUAGAUAGUUAUUUCAAAUUUUUGCAUGCAUAAUGCUUAGCCAUGACACAUUUAAGGAAAAUAUAGAGAAAGAUCAGAUGAUUAAAAGGAUAGGGGAUUUGGGAUCCAUUAGAACUUUCGAACACACUGUUUCCAGGCAAGUAAAUCAAAUCGAAUGCAUAUAACAACCUGAAGCUGCUGCCGGUGUGUUACUGGAAGCGACAGCAAAACAUCCUUAAAGUGAACAGCCGAGGAAGGCAACUGAGCUAGAUGAGAAACAAGCCGCACAGCUACAUUUCUUAACUCGAGGACUUCCUGGUAUUAUCCAUAAAACAAUAAAAAGAAGACAUUUAAGCCUUAAGAGGGAGCAACAAAAUUUCUAAUACAGAAUUUACAUGUCGGGCUAGGAAUGGAACCUGAGAAACGCCAUCUGAAGUCUUAGAGAAGACGACAAGAACCACUUCAAGAAAAAGGCUCAUGAAUCCCUUCUGAAGUUCAUCUGUAAUUGAGUGUGUCUGAAGUAGCAUUAUGAACCGCAAGCAUUCACCAGCUAUGACCACCGAUUCCGUAUUCACAGGUUUCUAUCCAAAAGAAUAAGAAUGAAGUCAGUUAUCAUAGUUUUUACAUCUAAAAAGACGUCAAAAUUACUCUUUUCUUCUAAAAAUGUAAAUUCAGUGAUUUUGGAAGGAAGAAAUGAGAAAACAACCAGAAGCGCCCUCUGCAUCAGACUGACAAUAUCUCCAAUAAGUUCGCCGACAAAUAAGAUCACAAAACUUUUCUCCUCUGGGUUGUUGUAUCGCUGUACCAAGCUUUUUAGCACUUGUAAGACAGUAGCUUGAACCUACAGAUAUUUGAACUUAUACUAUUAAGAGCUCGAUAAUCAACAGUUGAACUAGCAUAUGACAAGGAGGCAAGUCUCAGAUACCUGAACAUUGGAAUCUUUAACAACUGCUGCUAUACUAAUUUGGCAACUCUUCAACAUGACAAUACAGAUAGAAUUGGUAUUAGUUUCAUCUACUGGACAAUCAAACUCGUAGGCAAGCUUAGCCAGUGAAAAGAGUUGUUCCAGACAGAAUACAAGCUUCAACUGAAGUAGCUUGCGUAACCCUGAUCUCUUGCUGUCCACAAGCUGGAUACCGUUGAUACAAUCUCUAGUCAGAUCCCCAACCAUAUGCAGACAAGCACCAAAAAUUGCUCUUAGAUGGAAGCCACUAUCGGCAGCAAAAUUAGUGCCAUCUGCAAUAAAAUCAUUUUGAUCAAACAGUUUCAACAAACUUUACAAUGUCCCAAUAAAGGAUGCAAAAUAUUUCAGUUGCACAAAUCGACUUCACAAUUCUGCAUUUGCAACUUCGGGGCUCACAUAAAACAGACAUAAAGCAUACAUGAUCUAUACUGAAUGUACCAUCAAAACGAAUCUAACAUUCUACCCUCUCACAGAACUUUGACACCAUCUGAUAACCACCCUUAGCCUAGUAGACAAAAAAUUAACCUAGCACCAACUCUAUAUAAACUUACUAUCUGUUCAUUCUAUACAAACUCUUAUCAUUUUAGCUUCCUAAAUAACAUCGGCCAUUGCUUAUCAUAUUUUCAUACCAGUAUAAGGCUUUUGCGAUGAGGCUCUGGUAAGCUCAAGCAAUAAAUCGUUGGUGGACUUCACAAUCUCAAGAGCUUUGGGUAGGUAUGCGUCAGUGGGGACUUGCCGGAUGCACUUGUAGCCACUUAAUAAAAAUGCCAAAGGCGCCGAAUUUAAACGAUGCUGCAUUUUACAAACAAUCAUCAGUUAGAUGUAAAGAGUACAACAAAUAUAACAGAAUUCGAGAAAUGCAACAAAUAAAGCAAAAAUCCCUCAAAGUUUAUAUGUUACCUUCAACUCAAAACGUUUCACUAGCGUCUUUAUGGAGAUAAAUAAAGGGGAAAGCAUAUUGUCCCAAAUGCCAUCAUCUGGCGAAAUUUCAUUAUGUCUGAAACAGAAAGGAAUUUUUGGUAAGGUCGUUUCCAAAUAUAAUGCAGUAUAUUUCUCUCUACAUAAUUUUAAACAGAAGUGAACACAGCUUCCAAAAAUCUCUUUAAUGCACACCUGUGGAGAAUUUUGAACAGGUACCCAAGACAGAGUUCAAUAGUCGAAUAGGCAAAUUCCUCACUUUCAAGAAAAUCUUUUGGACAGUUUUGUGAGAUCUGUUGGAAAAAAAUAAACUUCAUCAGAACUCGCAUCUUUUCUAACGCGUAAGGCAUAUAUAGUCCUGGAAAAUUAAUCAGGAAUCAGUGUUACGAAGAAAUUCAUCAAACAGUGGUAUUAUGACCAUGAAGUACAUAAUAUCUGGUGAUAUGCCUAUGGCAGGGUAACAGAAACAAGGGUAACUGAUUAUUUCUCCUACAGUGGAAUAGUAUAUCUUGGUUCCAACUAACUAAAGAUAAAAGAGAACAGAGAAGGAAUACAUAUAUACAAACGUUCUUGAACCUCAUUUCCAAUCUUAAGAAAAGUCAGUAAAUGCAAGCCAAAAAUGAUGCUUUAGGGUUCAAUAACAUCAACGAGUUGUGUACCUGUUGUACUACUGAUACUGCAAGAAUAUCCCAUGAACUGUCCAUAUGAAAGGAAUACGACAAAACCUGGAUGAGUUACAAAAGGAAAAUGAAUCCAAUUAGAGUAGUGUAUAACUAAUCAAAGCUCACAGCCUAUGGCGCUUGGACAUUGCUAAAGCAGAAGCCAGUUAGGAAAAAUAAGAAAAAUAUGGGGUGUAGUGGAUCUGCACAAAGCACAAGGUAUUAUGUGUUCCAAAGAAGAAGCAUGUGGCUGCUUAAACCAAUAUCAAAUACGCUUUAGUAGCUGAUGAUAAUAAGAACUAAGAUAGAAUGGCAUGAGAAGAAUUUAAAAGGAAACAAAAUAUUUGAAGUGGCUCUACCUGCAAUAGCUCUUGGCAGAGGUCUAUACUAAGAAAGCCACUGGAAAAAAAUCUUCCAGCAGAAAGAGAUUGGAAAACUGGUAAUGCAAUUUCAUAUAACUUUAGGCCCUGGAACGAAGAUUCGUUGAUGCUGGAGUCUCCACUAGAUUUGAUUUUAGCUGAGCUAAAAGGUAUUACUUGCAUACUAGAGGCUGGAUGCAUCCCUUGAAACAAGACAAGUACAGCGAAGCCCCAUAGAAACUGAAAAUCUUCAGCCUCUAGUGUAACCAUGCGAUGUGUAGAUAUCAAGGACCUAUCAGAAAAUUCUUCAACACUAUGAUUCACCGGAAUUGCAUCCAGGACUAAAGCUUGCAGGAUGACAGGCCAUGCCUCUUCCAGACAAGGCUGUAGCCUUCUUGACACAGUAUGUGGCAGGAUUUCAUCUAAGAAUGAGCACUGCUGCGGCAAGUUUAAGAUCUUAUUAGAAGAUAGGGGAGCACAAGGAUAGAAGUGUUCAGCUAAAGAGAGAAAACAGAACUAUUAGGAGUUGACUCACACUUUUCUUGAGGUUUUGACAUAAGCAAAUAUAACUGUAGCCCUUUAGGACCUGAAUCCAGUACCUCCCGAGAAGGUCUGAACUCUUGGAAAACAUUGGCAACAGUGCUUCAAAUUCUACUGGCACCUCACCAUGGUGUUUUCUCAAGAACGUAAAUAUAUAACACUUAAGCGAGGCAUGUGCAGCAAGAAGCCUGAUCUUGAUCUACGUUGCAAGAAUAAGUAUACUCAGUGAUAGCCAAAUAAAAUUAGAAAAUAAACCCUUUUGUUGCUUAUGCACCUUGCUUGUGACCCAUUCAGCAAACGAAGGAUAAUAUAAUUCGUUAAAGUCAUUGAGUGGACGUGAAAGUAGAGAAAAUAUGCGUUUGACUGCAACUUGAUCACUUCUUAUUAUUCCACUGGUCAUUAUCUGGAAUUAAACACAUUAAUUUAGUAACAUAAUGGCCAAAAAUCUGAAGGAAGAACUACGACAGAUGUCAUGCUCACCUUUGUGGCCAAUUGUAACCCAGCUUCCAGAAGAACAGGGCCAGAAUUUGCAUCCAAGGCAGUACGAACAGCAGACAGAAGUUGAGCCUAAGUGUGAAAAUAGUCGGUAACUAUUAUGUUCAUUAAAAAGUUUAAUUAGUCUUUGUUCGUUGAGAAAUAAUUUUGAAUGGGAGCACCUGAUACUGUUCCAGAAGAAGAUGUCCAGGAAGUUCAGGGUCGGCUACUAAUUUAAACUGCAUCAGUAUCAGACAAUUACAAAUUAUGUUUACUGCAAACUACCACACCACAUCACCAAGGUGAAUAUGACAAGGAGGCUAGCAAAAUAUUGGCGAGAAACACACAUGUAACUAGUACAAUUCAGAAAUCUUCCACUACCAAAAAGUCUCACCUUCUCAAGAAUAGUACUAAGAAGUCCAACUCCAAUUGGCCUCAUGUUUUCAAACUGAAUAGUGCUUAUCUGAAUAAUUUGGUAGAUCUUGUUAGAAUUCUCUCAGGGCAUUUUCCAGAAUACUUGAAAUGGUUCUUUACAAAGUAAUUCCUUUUGUUUACCUGAUAAGCAAGAGAUAUUAGCUCUUGUAGUUGAAGGACUAACCAGUCACCUGAGCUUUGUCUAUUAGAAGCAAGAUUCCUCGCCAAUAAAAUAUCAAAAUGAGCAGCAUCAUUGCCUACAGCCUCUGGCAAAAGACUCAAACACCUACAGUUGAAAAUCAAUUGGGCUAAUUUAGAACACGAACAAAUAUAAACUCUUAUGCAGUUUGACUGAGAGCUGCAACCAUUAAGUUAUUAAGUGCUCAGGAUUAACUAAACGUUCAGAUUUCAUUUAAUAUUGGCUCAAUGCUGAAACCCUUGAAGAACUUGUGAAAAUUUGGUUCUGCGUCAACAUACAUUUUUGAAAUAUCAGUUGAAAUUUUAUUUUCCAUCAAAUUUUAGUUAUGGUCACAAACUACUUCAGAGCAUUAGUUAAAAAAUAUUUAUGUCAACAGUAUUCACUAGAGAGGUAGGGUAAGAACAAAGAAACAUCUCCCACUUACUCAGCUGCAAAAACUCUGGUUCGAUAUCUCAAGGUUUUGUCUUUAUCAGGAUUGGCCCGUAUAGAUUUCCCACUAGAGCUAGAAACCAUGUCUUCAUCAUCAUCGCCAAGGUUCUCUCUUGUGUAAGCAGGAUCAUUUUCUGCAAUGCUCGUUUCAGCACUCCUUCCAGCGGAUGCUGCAAGGGCCUAUCAGCAGAGUAAGUAAUAAAUCUCCAUUGAUUGUGGGAAUAAAAGGCAGAUCUCGAGAUAUAAUAGCAGAUGAAAAUUCAAAACUGCUAGUAACAUUUUGAACAAACGGCAGCAAUCAUGAGAAAACAAAUAAAUUGCCAUGGUCCCAUUUCAGAUAGUUCAUACUGCAGCAUGAAAAGUCCAUAGAAAACCAAGAUUUUAGUAUGAAAAACUCAUUGCUAUUACCAUGUUGCGGCAUAUCAACAUCCAUCGAGAUGGGCGUGAUGGGCAUGUUGCAUAAAGCAGGCGUAUCAAGGUACUACGGAUCAGGUUCCCAAUCCUACAAGAGCACAACAUCUCUAGGUCAUCAAUAAAGCAAGUUAAUCAAAACCUUACAUAAGAAAUUAACAUUCCAUAAAACAACAACAUUUACUGAAAGAACAAUUUCUUACUCAGAAUCAGUUUCUUCAUCCAACAUCUGAAAUAAGUUAUCCUCUAUUUGCUCAUCAAUGACAGAAACCUAAAACACACAAGAAUGCGAUAAAUUCCGAUGGUGCCAUUAAUUCUAAGACGAUGAAUCUGGAAAUAAAAUUUUGGGUCAAAGCAUGCGGUUUACCGGGUCUUUCUCAACCAGAUGCCGAAGAGUUGACACAGAUAGACGCCUAAUUAUUGGCUGUUUUACAAAAAAAUGUAAAUAGUUUUCAUAAGGGGAAGCCCUUGAAGACUAACCUAUGAAAAGAAGAGAUAGCAAAAAUGAAAAACCUGUCUUGAUGCCAGCGUCAUUAAAAGAUUUUUUACAUGUAUAUGUACUGAAACUGCUUGUGGAGCAAAAAGAAUAAGCUGCUGGGUAAAACAGACGCUUCUGAAAAUGUUUAGAUUUACAAUAAAAAUUAAGCUUGAUACAGGAUAGAGAUAAUUCAUAUAGUAGUAACAAUGGAUUAAAAUGAUGGUGGCAAAGAGAAAAGCAUUCACAUACUCAAGUAGUGUUGGAAUCUCUUGCCAGGAACUAAUCUCUGCAAUAACAGACUGCAAAAACUUUAUUUUAGAAUGAGAAAAACAGAUGGCCUUACAUACGAAUGCAUGCACCUUCCUUUAUUUAACCAACAAGGCCAGACAUAGGAUGCAUAAUUUACUGAAAUGGAAGGUUGGAAGUUUUGCGGUAACAAAAUUUCAAAUGAGAAAACACCAUUUUACAUACUGCAUGCAUCUUACUUUUCUCAAAGACAAGGUUGGAAGGUCCAGAAUAGUACCUUGCAGCGUGAAAACAGAAUGCUGCCAGGAGAAAGCUCAGGGCCAAGGACAGCAACAAUAGCAUUAAUAAGGCGUCCAAUGCCUUGAGAAAGAUCGAUCCAUCCACUUUCUUCAGUCAACAAAAUGUCCAAGGCAAGUCCUAAUGCUGCCUAAUAAUGAAUACAGAAUGGGAAUGAUAACAUGACACAAUGGAUGGAGAUAUCAAAUCAAGCUGGGAAAAUGAAGUUAGCAGUUAUAACCAUGCACCUAUUGUAAGGCAGAUAAACUUUCUUAAACAUUAAAAAAGUUGCAGCUAUUGAACUGCACCAGAGAAUUUCUCUCUCUGUCAAGCAUUAACAGAUUCAGGUGAUAACCAAGUAACUCAUUUAGCCAAUUUUAAAGAUACGCAGAAUUUCAUUUUAGUUUGCCGAACUGGCAACCCGAACACCAAAAUAAGAUCCUUUAAAACGAAAAAGCAAAAUAUGAAAACUGUGCAUUCAAAGAUCUUAAUGAACCACGAAAUUGUUUACCUGAACAUGAGAUACGAAUGAUAAACCAGCAGCUUCAAUGGUCAAAAGAAGCCCAUGCAAGGCCCAUAUCUUAAGACCAAGAACAGAGGUUUUGGUCAAAGAUGAGACUGAAUUAACAGUAGCAGGUACUAAGGACGACAAUGCCAUUCCUCCUGCACUGCACACCAUGUACAAAAUAAAUUCAAAAUAUAACAAAUCAACAUGUCAUAGUAGCCUUCAAUAUGUAAAAUAAUACGUAUCUGCGAAGAUUGAUAAUAUUUUAACUUAAUUGUUGUUAAAGCAUCACAACCAGACACAUAUUAGCCUACUUUUCAAUUUUUAUUGAUAUUCACAACAUAUCAAACUAGUUAGAAGCCAACUCCACCUGUGAUGAAUGCAGCCAAGUGCAAGAGCAAUUGAUCCACCAUAGUUUGGAUCUGUAACUCCACUUAGGUCGCCAAGAAGAACUCUGGUCUAUUUAUCACCAUGCAAAAACAUAUGUGAGAAAUAAAGGAAAUGUUUCACGUCCUAUCACUAUAAAUAAAUAAAAAUAUCUAGACCAAGAAAACCGGUACUGAAUUUUUUCACAUUUAGGAAACAAGUGAACAAAGCAAAAACAGAGACAUGCUAUACUUUAAAGUAGAGUCCAUAAGCAUCCAAUUCUAAGGAGCAUAAAGAAAGUCACAAAAGGUUUUUACGUAGAGAAUUGCAUUGUGGACAGACCAUUCUUGCUGUAAAGAUGUCAUUUCCAAGACGAGCUAGAAGACCUAGACCCUCACAUGCUGCUCUGCGUUGUGAUGCACAAAUGUCUCCCUCUGUUAGAAUAUUCUAUAGCAACAGAAACAUCAAAAAGUUAUAUAUAAGAAAACAAGUGAAUCAAUCUUGAGAUUAGGUUCACUAUUCUGAACUACCAUCCUUAUUGAAAUAAAAUACCUGAAAAAUGGCUUGCCCUGAGCUUAGUACUUCUGUCGUUAGUUGCUGAGGACGUAGAGCAUGCAAAGCCUGUAAAAAUAAAUUAAAUAUGAAGUUCUUAAUGUAACAGAACCAUAUUAUGUUCAUUAACUACAAGCAAAUGAUCUGGAUUCAGAUACAGAUGAUUUAUUCAGCACAGCAGUCAUUACAUUGCAUAGGCAUGGUAGCACAACCGUUCCAUACCCAGAGAAUAGAGCUUGGUUCAUUCUUCAAUGAAACAAAACUUAUCCGCUCUAUAUAUAGACCAAAAAUGCGUAUGAUCCUUUAUAUAAUGUCAUGUUAUAUGUAAAUUUUAUAGGUUUCCAACACCACCUGAGUUCAGCCCUCAGUACACUUCUACACGAGGUAGACACCAUGUUCGUACCUUUACCAUACUGCUAUCUUGACCGAUUUUUUCAAUACAGUUUGUUAACAAGCAAAAAAACUUGUAUACAAGUAUUGGAAGCACCUUUAAACCGGCAAGAAGUCCCGCACAAAUGUUAGUCAAGCUGGCUGUACGCCAUUGUUGCUUUUUUCCGGCUUUCAAACACUGUUGUAUGACCGAAAGAAGUGAGAGCAUCCCUUGGCUAUCCUGCGAAGCAAAUGUUACAAUCACUUCAGACUAUCAAAAUAGCAAAUGUCAUAGCAAACAAGGACCUAUCUUGACAUAUAGUAAUUACAAACCUGAGAAGCAAACAUGAUACCAAAGCAGAGAACCAUCUGAUUCACCAAUGUCUUUUUCACAGUCUCUGGCUUCAUGAUUACGGAAAUUUUGCAUAAGAGUUGAGCAUAAAUAACAAAGACAAGCCGGUAGCCAAAUAAAAAACCAGCACAACCACUAAAACCAAAUUUCACCAAAAAGCCAUUGGGCUUACCAAAGGAAAACUAGAAACUUUACUUUCCCAUACACUUGGUGCUAGACCAUCUUCCCCACCUUGAAAAUAGCGAAGUUCAUCUUCAAACCAAUCCCUGGAUAAAAAUUCAUAAAAAGUUACAUCUCCCUGGGGAGGACUAGGUUUCUGCGGCAUGAUCCGGAAUACGUGAGGAUACAAAUGCAGAAAAAUUCCUUAAGGAAUGCAAACCAGUAUAUACAGAUGAACAUAUAGUCACCUGCCAGGAAUCCAAGGACCAAGCCAUGCAUCUCUUUUGUCAAGGAGCGACUUCAAGCACGAGCUUUCCUCGAAUCCGGAAGGAUCCCUUUCAAUUAAACAAACAUGAAAGAAUGACUACUUCAGUGAUUAACAACGAGAUUUAUCAGGCCAUGUCCUUAUCAUUCAUUUAUGACAACUUCAGUGAUUAACAAAGAGAUUUUAGAAAAACAAGCAGUUAGGGAUGAAUAUUGUUACCUAUAUGGUGUGGUGCAUAGCUGAAUAAUUUGCUGAUGCUCACUUUUAUAGGCCAAGGGAUCUGGGAUGGAUUGAUAAGCUAUCAAUAUUCUUAUGAUGAGUAUGUCGACCAAAGUUUUGACAUCAGAAAACCGUUUGUUGGCCAUUGUCGAUACACAAGACAAAGCGCUGUUUGGAAUAAGAUGCUGUCAACUCACUCAUCAUACAGGUAAAGGAUAUGAAACUUAUUCUCAAAUGGAAGUAGCCAAAUUAUUAAAAUGGCAAUCACAUGAAGACAAAAAACUGUAGGAAGCAUCAGUAAUGUUGUACCUACGGAGGUUUGCCAGUACGGGUUGAAGUAGAAUACCAUCAUUACAAGAUACAAAACGUCGCACAAAAGCUGUGAGUGCAUCAAUUGCGGCGGACCACACACUACAACAAGGAGAAGACUGAUCAUGUACUUGUUAUCAAGAACAAAAAAGUGGAGUCAUCACUUUUAUUGCUCUUGGACCUGAAGUAAUCAGGGAGAAGUGAGGACUUAGCCCUCUCAAACCAGCCACUAAUGUGUACAAAAUAAACUACGACCGAGUUUGGAGACUAGUAUAUGCGAGAAUUAUGCUAAAAGCGUGUGCAUUGUUUAGAUAAACAUGGUUUGCUUCCAGGAGCUAAAUUAAAAUAUACAACAUAGGGCAAGAAUAUUCAGACCUUGGCAUUUCAAUAAAAGCUUAAUGCAUCACGGGCCAGUUACCUUAACAUAGAUUUUAAUUCUGCCUGUUGUUUGAUCAAGUGUUCUGGGUUUCCAGCAAAGACGUCAGUCCACAAGAUUAAUAUAUCAAAAUCUUGGUCUCCAAACUCCUAUAUAAUCAAACAGGAUUGCAUAAGAAAUUGAAUGCUCCAAACACAGCAGUUAAAGACAUAAGGAUUAUAUUACCUCCUUUGGCAUAGAAUUUAAUAGCGAUGAUAACAAUAACCAUCCAGCUUCCUUUUCACUUGAGGCAACUGUAACAUUUCUCCUUGAUUCUGUUAGCAUCUUCUUUGAAACUUCAAGCACCGACCUUGGCAAUCUGUGAACAAAACAUUACAAGAAAAGUAUUGCAACUGAUUAAUGGAAGUUCUGUAUUGGCUAUUCUACAAAAGUCAUGGCAGAUUGAGAACUACUCUGACUAUCUAGCACAAAAUAUAUCCUCUGUAAUUUUCAUAGUACGUAAAAGGUGUAUUGGCCAUGAGCUAGUUUGAUUAGGUAAGGAGCAAAUGACAAACUCCCAGAAACUAUUGAAAGUACUACGAGUUUGAAGGUUCAUCUAAUUGACUAAGGUAAUGAGAAAGGUAGUAAUUUACAAGAUUAAUGGGAAGAUUAGAAAUCUCACAAAGAUAAUAAUAACUAUGCAGCCUAAAUGUAAGAACCAAAUGCCCAGUAACUAAUUUGUUGAAACUAGCAUUAACGUUAAGUUUGAAUGCUGAAACAGUGAAUAAAGAUGUGAUCAUGGGGAGUUACGAAGACUAUUACCUAGCAGGGUAACCAAGUGAGAGUCCAGGCGAAAUGGAGACUAGAGCUGCCAAAGUUGCUGCUUGCCCAUGUAAAGAAGCAAGAUCAGUUUUCAAUUUGUCUCCCUACAGAAAAUGACAAUGGCAAAGUCAUUCCCCGUCAUCAAGUUGCUCCAGCUUACAAUAGAGACUGUCUAUUUAUAGAGACUUAAAGAUGAAGAACUUCAAUUAGAUGAAGGCCAAGGACGUCAUAAGCAUAUGAAGGGAAACUAUGAUG